This 86570-nucleotide long non-coding RNA is filed under the name Aquilegia coerulea. RNAcentral's name for it is "long non-coding RNA (ACOE_LNC000844)". The stretch from base 79730 to 79942 matches the Rfam family "Plant small nucleolar RNA U3". Lineage: Eukaryota; Viridiplantae; Streptophyta; Magnoliopsida; Ranunculales; Ranunculaceae. The record is from RNAcentral.
UUUUUUUUUCUUGUUGCUUUAUGGAAGUCGAUGGGACUCUCUUAUACGAAAUCCAUCUACUUUACCUGCUGGUGUAGCUUUUAUUAUUAUUGGUCUUAACUUAGGUUUGUGUUGGAUGCAUUUUGGCGUGUCAUUAAACUUUUAAAGCUCAUGACAUGGAGUUUACUAAGUUACUAAAGUCUUCCAUAUUUGUGUCAUUUAACAAGAUUAUUCAGCAAAAUAUUUCUUUGUUUGAAAAAAAGAACUUAAAAUUAAUACAUAACUGCGUAAUCUUUUUAGGGAGAGAUUAUUGCUGGAAAAUAUUUCCACAUCUAGUUGUGACAAUUUACUAGUCUUUAAUACUUGGGAAGUUUUUGAUGUCUCCUUUUUCUAUCAGAUGACUCGAUUCUUUCAGUUCAUUAAGUAUCUGUAUUCUGCUCACAAAUGAUUUGCAACUUUCAGUUUGACAAUUGUUAAAUGGUAUUUGACCUGAUGUAUACUUUGUGGAGCACUUAUCUUGCAGAGCAGAUAUUUGUUCUUUUUCUAAUGUUACAUUGUUUUUGUUUUGUAGACGCAGAGUCUGCCAAAUCAGAGAUUGAGAUGGAAGAGGAGGCUCCCGUAUCAAAAGUUUCCCCUGAUUCCAAGUUUGAAAAGGAGGCUUGCUUGUCCAGCAGUGUCCCUGAUAUUGAAUCCUUAGUUUUGGACGAGAUAUUGUCGACUGAUACAGAAGGAUCGAUGUUAAGGUCAGAUGAAAUCAGUGGUGAUGGGAAACAGCAUAGAGAGGUAUUUGUGGUUUAGCAUUUUAUGCCUCCUUUAGUCCUUUCUCCAUCAAAUAUAUCAUUAUAAACUGCUUCAUUUUUCUUGUUUUACAAUUUGAUUUUGUUUUUCUUAUUUUUUUCUUCUUACUUUAGGCUUGGGCAAUUUCCAAAGGGAGCGAGUCAAUUGCAGAUUGUUUCUGUGACCUAGUUCCUGAAAUGGCCCUCGAGUUUCCUUUUGAACUGGAUACAUUUCAGAAGGAGGUAUGAUGAAUUGGGAGUACUGCAUUGUUUUCAAUUAGCUUAACUUUUUGUGCUAUUCAUAGAGGACAUGAGGCACUGUAAUUUGCAAAUUUGAUAGAUGUGUCAUGCAUAUGGGUUCUUUGAAUUAUAAAGAACUGAAUGACGAGUAAUUUAUGAUGUAAAGCUAGUAGAUCACGAUGAGUUUAUCAUCAUUCCCUUGAGCCCAUAUGAAAAGUUCAAAUAAAAUGAAAAUGAUAUGAAAUAAUGAUGCAAUGGAAAAUAGACGAAGAAAUUUUCCUACUCUAUUUGGUUAGCACACUACAUACGAGCACAUACAAGAAAAUGAUUUUUGACCUUAAUCUUAUUACAUAUUUCUUUUUAGAUUUAAUCUUUUCUAACUGAUUCCUUGAUUUUUGGAUUUCUGUCUUAACUUUGUUUUAUCGUGUAAAAAACAUUCAUAAAGAUAUGUGUUUUGAUUUUAUGUAAUAAGAUUAAGGUCAAAAAUCAAAGAUAAGUUUUCUAUCUGAUACCUUGAUUUUUGGCCUUAAUCUUAUUACAUAAAAUCAAGGCCUUUUUACUUGCUAUCCAUGGUCCAAACUAGAAUUUUUGGAUUUCUGUCUUAACUUUGUUUUAUCGUGUACGUGAUGCAUAUGCAUAAAGAUAAACAUGUGCAAGGCACAUGCCUCAUAGUUCCUGCAGAUUCUUAUAUGGAUUAGAACAUCCCUAGUAGUAGUUUCUAUUUACUUUGUUUUUCUAGUGUAGUUAGGAUUAGGUUUAGGUUAUUAUAAAUAGGGGAUUGCAAACCCUAUUGAGUAGGUUAGAUUGAAGAUUUGUUUAUGUCUUGAGACAUUAAAUUUGUUUUUGUGAAGAACCCUAGUUUUUGGGUGUUCAAACCAUUUACUUAAUUGGUGUUCUUAUUAUUGUUUGCUUCCGCCGAUAAUAUUACAUCCGUACGAUAUGUUUUUACUUAGUAAAACAUGGUGUUGCACUUUCACUUACACCUUUUACGAAAUGAGCACCAUUGUUUAUUAACUUUGGGAUUUCCACUACCUCAAUAAUUUUUAUUUCUUACGACUGCUGUCACAAAACGAUCCAACUUUCUCCUUUUUUCUUUUCUGAAAUUUGGCAUGAGUAUCAUAAUGAAUCGUUCUGUAUUUUACAUUUUUACCCGCUUAUAGAUCCAUUUUUUUUUUAAAAGUUAUCUUUCCUCGUGUCACCAAAAUAUCGUCCAAAUGUAAUAUACAUAGUGGCUAAAAUAUGUCGGGUUGUUUUUUAAUCUUUAGAACUCUGGUUUUAUAUUGUCUAUUUGAAACUAUUAUCUGAUGAGAAAGCAUUCCUAUUUGCGUAAUCCCCUGCGAACAAGUUUUCUCAUGUAGCUUGCAUAAACUAUUCAUGCUACUCACAAUUGGUAUCUUGAAAUGCAGGCCAUAUAUUAUCUUGAGAAGGGGGAGUCUGUUUUUGUAGCUGCUCAUACAUCAGCUGGAAAGACUGUUGUUGCAGAAUAUGCAUUUGCUUUGGCAUCAAAAGUAAUGGGUUUCAAUUCUAUGUUUUUUCCUACCCAAUGACUAUUGCUUGUUGUUGGUGAUCCAAGUGUUUUUUUUUCCGAAAUAUAAAAGAUAUUAUUUGUUAUAAUUUUAUUAGGUCAAGAAACUUUAAAAGAGUGUUAGCUAGAAACUAUUUCAUUGAAGACCCCAACCGAGUAGACAUAGGUCUACCAAUUCGUCAUCUUUACUUGGCCCCAUAUAUCGAGCACACAAAUUCAUAUUUUCGUUGCCCAUGCAUCGUCCCUUGAUAAGGAUAAGUUAUUAUCCCCAUCUUCAUAAAUGUCAUAAAAAAAUUGACGCUCAUCAGGUCUAAGAAGUGCUAUACUGACAUAAGACCUAAAAACUUACAGCUGUGCAUAUAACUUAUAAGCCAUUUAUUAUGUCCUCUUUUGCAAUCUUUGGUUCAAUGCCACUCAGCAUCUGUUUUAGUUAGUCUGUACAAGUUUCCAUGCCUACUCUUAAUUGAAAUUUUCCAUUGUGUUGUGUCUCUUAUGUGACACUUUUUUAUGCAGCAUUGUACGCGAGCUGUGUAUACUGCUCCCAUAAAAACCAUCAGCAACCAAAAGUAUAGGGAUUUUUGUGGGAAAUUCGAUGUUGGUCUUCUUACUGGUGAUGUUAGCAUAAGGCCCGAGGCAUCUUGCCUCAUCAUGACAACUGAAAUAUUAAGGUCCAUGCUAUACAGAGGUGCGGAUAUCAUACGCGAUAUUGAAUGGGUAAAUUUUUUUGUUUAGUAUUGUAUUUACUCCAGAGUGUUUUUUGUUUUCUUUUUGUUAUUUUUUCUAUAAAUUUCAUGACAUUACUUUUUAUUUAUGGGUAUGUGGAAGGUUAGGUGAUAUUCGACGAGGUGCAUUAUGUUAAUGAUGUCGAAAGAGGUGUUGUUUGGGAAGAAGUUAUUAUUAUGCUUCCAAGACAUGUUAAUAUUGUUCUCCUUUCAGCUACGGUAUGUAGUUCUUUCUCAUUGCUGGAAAUUUGUGAACAUUUUCCACUUUAGUGUUAAGAGUAACAUUUCUUUAUUAGAAAAACAAUAGAGGAAUAAGAUUCUGGUGAUCAUUGGGGAACAUAUUUUAACUCUGUUUGAUUGGGUAAACACACUAAUUAUAAGUCUCAAACAUCUCUUGUUGUCAUCUAUUUGAAUGGAAUGUGAUCCAAGCUCUCAGCCUAAGACUUGCUAAGAACACUAACACCCUGAUGGAGUUAUAAGAUACUAAGUCUGACAUUUGUGGGCACAAGAAGUUCAUGUUGGAUGUUUUUCUUAGGUAUGACAGCUGAUUUGGUCCUUUUGGGCAGUGCCAAUAUAUAAUAUCUUUCUUUUUCUUAUCAAGACCAUCAGAAGGUGCGAUGAAUUUGAGGGACUCUUUCCAAAGUCGUGAAACAUUGAUAUUGUCAAUGAGAUCACUUGCUUAAUAGCUGGGAUUUUGUGAAUCUUUGAAUGAAGUUCUUUUAUUUUUCUUUUAGUUCUCCCACCUCUUAGAGUUAAUAUUCAACAUGUUUCUGAUAGGAAGUAGCUGAAUUACACCUGAGAAGUUUUUAUUUCGAUUCUACAGUCAUCUUCAUGGUCUUAUUAUUAUUAUUACUAUUUGUUUUGUUAUCUUCUUUCCCUUUAAGGUUAUAAGCAUAUAAUUAUAGGAUGUUGACAUUUUUUGUAGGUGCCAAAUACCAUAGAAUUUGCUGAUUGGAUUGGUCGGACUAAGCAGAAGAAAAUUCGCGUAACUGGGUGAGUAAACUGGUUUUAGGAAAAUGCUUCAAAUUUGUUUUUAUCUAUUUUUUAUUAUUUACAUCUUGAGGCUUAGGAGUGCCAAGCUAAAAUAAUUUCGCUCCUCUGUUUACUAAGGCCCACCACAAGUUCUUUAAUACCAUUGGAAUUUUAUCGUCUUCAGCAUAAUCUUCUGUUUAUAGUUUGAUAAUCAUUGGUUAAUAAUACCAUUUCUUGUUAUUUUUGGCAUUUUUAUUACCAGAACUACUAAACGACCUGUACCUCUGGAACAUUGCCUAUUCUAUUCUGGAGAGUUGUAUAAAAUAUGUGAAAGUGAGAAAUUUCAGCCUCAGGGAUUGAAAACUGCUAAGGAUGCUUACAAUAAAAAAAAUUCAAGUACACUUGGAGGUGGUUCUGGAACACAUGCAGGGUCUGCAGUGCUCCAUGGUAGUGCCCCAGUUCGGCAGCAACGCGAAAAUUCUAUUCGUGGUAAACAGCAGAAGCAUUCGGGAACCCAAUCUGUUAGCAAGUUUUCAGGUACUGCUGGACCAAACCAAAAUACCUGGGGAUCAAGGAAACCAGAGGCUCAAUUGUGGAUGCAGCUCAUAAACAAGCUCUCAAAGAAAUCUCUUUUGCCUGUAUGAAAAUUAUUUUAAUCUUUAUGGUUGUUACUUUCUGUUAAGUUUCUGAUUUAUUACUAGCUGCCAUUCUUACCAUUGAAUGUGAAUGCUACAAUGAAACCAUGCAAACAAAUAUGCUUAUAGGCAGAAUUUUUGUUGGAAGCAUGCAAAUUCAUCAGAACUUGGUUUGAAUCAUGUAUCAAAAUUUGAAGAUUGUCAGCAUCACUCUGCAUGGAUAAUGUUUCAGUUUCUAAGAGGAUUGCAUGUCACAUCUUUUAUUUUAUCUUCAAUAUGUAGCUUAUUACUAUAUUUAUAACUUUAUUUUUCUCUGGCUUGUGAAACCAGGUGAUUAUCUUUUGCUUUUCAAAGAAUCGUUGUGAUAAAUCUGCUGAUAAUAUGACUACCAUAGAUCUAACAAGUAGUUCUGAGAAAAGUGAAAUUCGUGUUUUCUGUGACAAGGCCUUUUCACGCCUAAAGGGAUCUGACAGAAAUCUCCCUCAGGUUUGUAGUGUUUCGUUUCAGUUUUUCUUUUCUAUUUGCAUAAGUUCGAAUUAUCUUCAGGGAUUAGGUUAAAUAAAUGCUUUCUGCAGGUUGUCAGAGUCCAAAACCUUCUACGUAGAGGGAUUGGUGUGCACCAUGCAGGGUUGCUUCCAAUCGUCAAAGAAGUUGUUGAAAUGCUGUUUUGUCGUGGUGUGAUUAAAGUAAUUAUUUCUACCAAUACCUGCCCGAGUUCUCUAUCAUUUUAUUCUGCUAUGUUUGGUUCGUUGGAAAACACUUCUUUGCAAUGUACUUGUAACAGAAAAAUUGAAAAUUGUGCCAAAAUGAUGGAAAUGAUAUCCUCUCUGGCUCUCUUUAUACCCGAUUAUUCUUUUCAUUGUUUAGUUGUCAUAGAGUUGAAGCAUAACCUUCCACAGAAGUCCCAAACAUUAACAUUUAGAAAUGCUACAAUACUGAUAAUUUCAUGUCAAAAGAUUCCAGUUUCAUCUGUUUAGCAUAGGAGUUGUAAAGGAUUAGAAGGUCUCACCAGACGUGAUCAUGGAACAGGAGGUGGGGGUAUUCUAGAUGAGUUGUGUGAAGAAAAAGUCAUGUCGUUCAAUUGAUUUUCAAGCGAGCUCCUUAACCUUCUAUUGACAGUCCACUUUCCAGUCUAGCCAUCUUUGCCUAAACUCCAUCAAAUUCUCCACUUCCUGUUCAAUCCCAUACCUUUGCUCCAGUGUCACCAACCUGCCUUUACCUUUUAUCCUAUUUUUUUUUUUCUCAUGCAAUCCAUCCAAUAUACUCCUACCGCCUGUUCCAUGUGAUCCGCUCUGAUGAGACCUCCUCAGCCUCACUGAUUUCUAUGCUUAACUAUAAUCUUCUUAUGGCCCUUACAAGUAGUUAUUUGUUUUAAAUUGGGGUUUAACAAGUUGUUGUCUUGUCAAAAUUUUAAUUCCCCUAGUUAUUGUCUUUAAACAUUUCCAUUUAAAGCUCCACAUGAUUUUCUGGCACACAGUUGAAGUCUCAUUUUAGUUUUGUGUUAACGUAUUGAUUGACUGAGUUUUUUUUUGUUAAAUGACAAUUGACACUGUAUUGACUGAGUGUUUUAUACUUAUAGGUGUUAUUUUCAACAGAGACAUUUGCUAUGGGUGUCAAUGCUCCAGCCAGAAUGGUAAGUCUAUCAUGUUAUCUUGUUUAAGUGCCUUUUUAUAUUAUUAGAUAGUUUUUAUUAAGUCAUGGAUCAACAUUCUGCCAACUUUCCACUUUCACUUUUUUGUUUGGUGAUAAAUUUUAUUCGUAACAAAGAUGAGAUAGUGCAAUGAAUCCCCUAAGUCCGUCCUCUUUUUAUUACCCUAGUCCAUGCCCUACUUCUAGGGGUGCAAUAUUUGGGCUUGGACAAAUCGUUCAAGCGUAGGGGUCUAAGACGAAUGCAAGUAAAAUACCUGUCAACAUACCAAUAUGGAUGAUAAAUCAUAAUAGAUUACUGAUGCCAAGACAUUUAUACUUCCAAGGAAAAACACAAGGUCACAUCUUACAAUUUGGUUGAAAACAACCUGUAGGUGAAAAGGUAUGUCAUUUUUAUAUCACUUUGUUGAGUUUCUUGCAGGUUGUCUUUGAUGCCUUGAGGAAAUUUGAUGGUAAAGAGUUUAGACAGUUAUUACCUGGGGAAUACACUCAAAUGGCUGGCCGUGCUGGUAGACGUGGUCUAGAUAAGAUUGGCACAGUUGUUCUGAUGUGUCGUGAUGAAAUCCCAGAGGAGAGAGAUUUGAGACAUGUGAUUGUUGGGAGUGCAACUAGACUUGAAUCCCAAUUCAGAUUGACUUAUAUCAUGAUCCUGCAUCUCCUCCGCGUUGAAGAAUUGAAGGUGAUUCUAGAACCAAAUUUUAGAUUGAACUUAAAUUUGCUUUGGUAUUGAUGUAAAAGAUUGCAUCUUUAAUUCUCUAGAGAGUUAAUAAAAUAUGUUGUACUUGUAUAUUUGUCGGUGACUCUCCAAUCAGCAAGUGAUCCUCAUCAAUGUUUUUUAGUGUUAUUCACACCUAGACACCAUUCCAGCUAUUCCUUGGUGGACAUUGCGAUGGGUUAUGUGUAUAUUGAGUAGAGGUCAUACGUGUUGUUCCUGCAUGCUUGUGUUGUACACUUGUUUUUCUGUGCGUAUGCAUAUAUUUGAUAGAGGAUUAUUAUUUCAGGUGGAGGACAUGUUGAAGAGAAGCUUUGCUGAAUUCCAUGCUCAAAAGAAACUUCCAGAGCAACAGCAACUUCUCAUGUUAAAGCUUGCUCAACCUACAGCUAUUAUUGAGUGGGUCAUCAUGUCCUCAGUUUUUGUUUAUAAAUUUACAUUUUGAUGUUUUAUCUACUUUUACCGUUUCAGAUUGUUUUCUUCCAACUCAGUGUAGCUGGCAUCUUUCUUGGGCUGUCAGUUUUGAUUGAGUUUAUCAUUGUUUUUAAUGGUAGUCCAAUUAAAAACUUGAAAUUAUCUGGUGUUACAUUUAUUGUAUCGUAGCCAUUUCAUGAUCUUCUUGUGGUGUGUGAGCUACAUUUUCCUUUUCCAUCUGUGGAAUAAUUGACAAAUUGUUUUCUGCAUACUAGAUGUAUAAAGGGCGAACCUGCAAUUGAAGAAUAUUAUGAAAUGCUGACUGAAGCUGAUAGACAUAGGGAAGCUGUGUUAGAGAAGGUUAUGCAGUCUACUUCUGCCCAACAAUUUCUUUCACCUGGAAGAGUGGUAGUCGUCAAAUCACAAUCAGUGAGUGUUUUUAGUUAAUUUUAUCUAUAUUCUUGAAUUGAGAUCCAGGUGCUUAGUCAUUCUGUAUGAUACUUAACUUGCGAAAGUGCUAGUUUGUGAGAAGUUCAUUUUAGGGCUCCAGUUAGAUAAUGCCUAUCACUCAGUGACUCUUCAGUUGACUGACAUAUUGCAUAUUAUCAGUACUCAUAAGUAGUUUAAUAUAUCUAGACACCUAAUAUAAGAAAGCCAUUGAUUUCUGGAUAAGUUUUAUGUCUUUAUCAAUACGGAAAAAAGAAAAAAAAAGCAUACUGGUGGUGCUGGACUUUUAUUAAAAAAUAAAUCAAUGCUGGACUUUUACUUUCUGGUUGUCAGAUGCCAGUUAGGCUGAUUAAGUGUUUAAAGUUAACUUUUAUGCUCCCUUUAUUUUCUCUCAUUUGUUUUCUUUAAAGGAAUUUGUGGGUGUAUGAUUAUGUUAUGCGAGCAAAACGAAAGAAGAUACAAGAAGAUUGUUAAUUAACCAUGAGCAUUUUUUACCUUUUCUAGUUGGCAUCCAGUCUGAAUUGCUUAUUUUUGUACUGAGGUUACUUUGUAAUAAUCACAAAAGAUUAAGGCCACCUCUUUAGAUUAGAUGUAGCAAGAAUUAAUGUUUAACUCGGCAGCCUUUCUUAUCUUGUAGUAAAUCCAAGAAGACAAUCCAGAGAUGGGGGAUUUUAGGUUUCUGCUUACAUGAAGAAAUUAUAAAGUUCCUUUUAUUUUUUCCGAAUAUUUGUAUUAGAAUUUGUUAGCUAUAGUGGAAUGUGCUGCAUGUUGACUUUCUGGUGGUGCUAAGCAUUCAAUGAAUGCGUAGAUGCUUUUCUGUACACUGUAGGCAGUUUUGUAUAGUCAAUGAAACUGUUAACUUCUUAUUCUAUAUUGAUAUAUGUAUAAAUCUUUGUAUUCUGUCUUCUUUGACAGGCCAGAGAUCACUUACUUGGGGUUGUCUUAAAGAUACCUUCUGCAAUUUUUAAACAACACAUUGUUUUGGUGCUGAGACCUGAUCUUCAAUCAACUAUGCAAACUUCCCUAGUUGCUGAUAAAUUACAAGAAAAAGGAAGUGGCAAUGUAUCCCAAGGGUAUUUUAUUGCUCCAAAAUCAAAACGUGGACAGGAUGACGAUUACUUUUCGUCUGCAAGUUCUCGUAAAGGAUCUGGCGCUGUCAAUAUAAAGCUACCAUAUUGUGCUACUGCUGCUGGAAUGAGUUUUGAGGUUAUAGGAAUUGAACACAAAGAGUUCUUAAGCAUUUGCGAGUGCAAAAUUAAAAUUGACCAGGUCCGGCUUCUUGAAGAUGUCAGUAAUGCUGCAUAUUCAAAGACGGUCCAACAGCUGUUAGAUCUAAAAGCUAAUGGAAACAAAUACCCUCCUGCUCUAGAUCCAAUACGAGGUAUGACCUGUUAUGUUCUGAAAUGUUUCAUCCCGCUCUUCUUGCAAGUUUUUCAAGUUAUUUUUCUGAUAAAAAAAAAUUGAGCUGUUAUGCCAAUUGCUUCUCGACUUCUCGUUGUAUCCAAGUAUAUGGUUUUAUCUUUUUGGGAGAAAGAGUCUGCAGGACAAAAACAAAUGCUAAAUAUCCCAAAAGGACAUAGAAGUCAACAACUUUUGGACAGAACUGCCGUCUAUAAUCACACUAUGAUCAGAUGUCGAAUCAUAUAUAUAUAGAAUAUAUGAUGUAGUUAACAAAUCUAUACACUAAACCUAUAGAUUAANNNNNNNNNNNNNNNNNNNNNNNNNNNNNNNNNNNNNNNNNNNNNNNNNNNNNNNNNNNNNNNNNNNNNNNNNNNNNNNNNNNNNNNNNNNNNNNNNNNNNNNNNNNNNNNNNNNNNNNNNNNNNNNNNNNNNNNNNNNNNNNNNNNNNNNNNNNNNNNNNNNNNNNNNNNNNNNNNNNNNNNNNNNNNNNNNNNNNNNNNNNNNNNNNNNNNNNNNNNNNNNNNNNNNNNNNNNNNNNNNNNNNNNNNNNNNNNNNNNNNNNNNNNNNNNNNNNNNNNNNNCAGUCUUUUUUUAAUUAAGCUAAAAGGACAAGGACUUGUGAUUUCACGUCUGAUCAUAGUGUUGGUCUUUAUUGUAGUUCAUAUUUUGCUCUUCUCUACUAGGGUUAAUUACCCUAUAAGUUUAGUGUAUAGUUUUGUUAACUACAUCAUAUCUUUUAUAUAUGAUUCGCCGUCUGAUCAUAGUGCGAUUGUAGAGGGUAUUUCUGUCCUAAAUUUGUUGAUUUCUAUGUCCUUUUGGGAUAUUUAGCAUCUGUUUUUGUCCUGCAGACUCUUUCACCAUUUCUUUUUCCUUGAUAAGUAAAACUUCCAUGAAUGAUGAAAGGCUUUGUUCAAAGCAAAAGGAGAAAGGUUGUGCAGUCAUAUGCAUGGAACCAAGACAUCCCAACUAGGUGGAAAUGAUAAUGAAUUAUUUUUGGGGUUGGGGAUGGGGUGGGGUAUUUNNNNNNNNNNNNNNNNNNNNNNNNNNNNNNNNNNNNNNNNNNNNNNNNNNNNNNNNNNNNNNNNNNNNNNNNNNNNNNNNNNNNNNNNNNNNNNNNNNNNCAACUCAUCCCUUCAGGUGUAUGUGUUAAUGUCUUAUUUUUGGUUGCUUCUUGGUUUUGGGGAAUUUUCCAAAUUAUUUUUGGGGUUGGGGGUGGGGGUAUUAUUGGUGGGUGGGUGGGGUAUUUUCAAACUUAUUCAGCCUUGAGCGAUCAACAUACAUACCUUUUUUAAACAAUGUUGCCUCAAAUUUUAUUAACAAUGGAGUAGCUAUUGCAUCAGGACAACUGAUAGUCUGAUACAAUCAGCAAUUAUUUGUUUAUUGGGAUACUUAUGGACAUUAGUGAGUUUUUAAUGUCAUGGCUAUAAAAGAAAAAGUUAUGAGAUUUGAUGUAGUAUAUUUGCCUAAAAGUAAAUACAAUUAUACUGUGUUUCAUUUUUUAUCAAGUUUUAUAUGGCGUUUAUGGAUAUAAGUUCUUAGCAACUAAACUUUAUUAGAAUUAUUACUGAUGUAAGUGUUAUUGGGGAACGCUUAACGUGAUUAAUGUAGUUGUGGAGUAAACGUAUUUUGAACUUCGAUAUUUUGCUUAGUUUUGACGGUUACCUUGUAAAUGCGUUGGUUUUAGCAUAAAUUUAAUAUUAAUACUGUAGGCCAUAGGAUAAACUGAAACAUUGAUGUUGUAUGUUUCCUUUGGCUUUGUCAUUCAUUCAUUGUAUCCUUGUCAUAUCUGUAUCCUAGUCUUUGGGAUUUGCUGUAUCGCUCUGUCCGUAAUGUUUGGUUACACACUCACGUGCCUCCUAUACCGCAGAUCUAGUGACUGGACCUUCAGUUCACUGUCGAUUAUUAAAACAGAUCACAGCUUAUCAUUCUCCAAUAAUGUUCUGCUCAAAGUAACGGAACGGUUUAUUUUGCAUCUACCAAAAUACAAUCGGUUUAGUUUAACCUGUAGUUGUACAUAUCACAAACAUGCAUGGUUUAUAGUGCUGGUGAUGAAUUCCAGUUGCUUAUAUAGCAACAUGCUGAAAGACAUGGUCACCUGACAAAAAACCAACUGAAGAUAAUGAGUUUAACCUUUAUUUCAGAUCUGAAGCUUAAAGACAUGGCCCUGGUGGAGGCUUACCGCAAAUGGCAUGGUAUAUUGCAAAAGAUGUCCGAGAAUAAGUGUCAUGGCUGUGGAAAACUAGAGGAGCACAUGUUAUUAUUGGAAGAGAUAAACAAGCAUCGAGAAGAAGUGAAAGCACUGAAGUUUCAAAUGUCAGAUGAAGCACUUCAGCAGAUGCCAGACUUCCAGGGCCGAGUAUGUUUCACUUGACUUCUUGUUUCCCUCCUUAUCUCCUGUAUUCUCAGAAACAGUGUUACAUUUGAUUUUAUAUCAUCAACAACCGUAUUUCACUUUUGCAGAUUGAUGUGUUAAAGGAAAUCGGCUGUAUAGACUCCGACCUUGUUGUGCAGAUCAAGGGUCGGGUGGCGUGCGAGAUGAAUUCUGGGGAAGAGUUGAUAUCCACAGAGUGCUUGUUUGAGAACCAGUUAGAGGACUUGGAGCCUGAAGAAGCAGUGGCACUUAUGUCUGCACUUGUAUUUCAACAGAAGAACACUUCUGAUCCAUCUCUUACUCCUAAGCUGGCACAAGCGAAAAAGAGGUUAUUUCCUAUGAAUUAUUUGUUCCGAAAUUCGUGUGCAGGAAAUGCUUGUUUUUAGUAGCUAUGCUAAUAAGAAAAUUCUCUCUUUCUUUGGAAAGGUCUAGAUUACUGUUGUCGUAUAAUAUUUUCUUGGUUGCGCUGAGCAACGUGCAAGGAUGCAUAGUGUGAAUUCAUCUCUAUUUUCUUAUUAGUGUUGAUAGGUCACUAGUGGUCCUUAGGCGGUUUGGAGGGAUGUAUAAAGAUUUUUGGCGGGUUGCAUGUGCUAGUGUGGUGUGUUGUAGCAUGUUCUUUAGGAAUGUGUUAUGGAUGUAGUUAGUAGAUUGGUAGGUUUAAGCUCACAAACAUUGAAGUUCCAAAUUCGAGCUAAAACAUCGCACCUUUGAAGGUCUGCUCUGUGUAAUACGGUAAAUUGUUCGUAACUUCGUAUAGAGAAUUAUGUGCGAGAUGAACAUUCUUGCUACCUUUAUUAGAUUGAAAGCAUGUACCUUUGCUGUCACGAUUAUAUCAAAUUACAGCCUAAACCUAAGCAUUGAUAACCGUAAUGUUUAAACUGCUGGGUACAUUAUGCUGGAAGAUUAGUGACGAGGUUGAGAAUAUCUUGCUUUGAGUUUUAUUUGGUUGUUUCCUUUUCCUUAUUGAAUUAAAAUCAUGCGUGCAAUGUCAUCAGGUUGUAUGAUACAGCGAUUAGACUUGGUGAGCUUCAAGAGCGCUUUAAACUACAGAUAAACCCUGAAGAAUAUGCUGCAGACAAUCUUAAGUUUGGUCUUGUGGAAGUGGUCUAUGAAUGGGCCAAGGUUUGCUAUCCUUUACAAAAUCGUUUGUGCUGUAGUGACCUGUUACUUAUUUUACCCGCUUUAUAGUUUAUUAAUUUAACACUUCCUAACUGUUAUUGUAGGGUACACCAUUUGCUGAUAUAUGCGAGCUUACAGAUGUUCCUGAAGGUUUAAUUGUGAGGACCAUUGUUCGAUUGGAUGAGACGUGUCGUGAAUUCAGGAACGCUGCAGCAAUAAUGGGUAAUUCGGCACUUCACAAGAAAAUGGAAACUGCAUCUAAUGCAAUCAAACGUGACAUCGUUUUUGCAGCUAGUCUAUAUAUCACAGGAGUUUAAUGCUUAAAGCCCAAAUUCCGCUUGAAGAUCAUAGCUUGCUCCCUGCAACUGGUAAUUGAUGUUAUUGCAAUUUGCAAGUCUCACAUUAAUACUGGGCCCUGGGCCCGCAAUAUAUAUCUGACAGAAGAACAGAGUAAAAGAAAAGUUGAGGGUGGAGAUCAGGAUUCAGGAUUAUCCCCAUGCCCCCAACUGCAGUGGACUAACAAUCUUUAGUCAUGCGAAAUAUCAUAAUGCCCUGAGGCCUUUGGUUCCUAUGGGAUUAAUGUUGGAAUGUGAUGGUUGCAGUUAAUGGGGAUAGCUUAGAACAGGUUUCCAAUUAUUGUAAAUAAUUCCCAGGUAGAAAUUGCGACUUUUAGUUCAAAACACAGGAAUCAUCAAAUAAUAAAUAAGAUGGUUUUUUUUUUUUUUUUUGAAUUUUUUUCCCAAUAUGUCAUCACUUCUGUUAGUUGCAAAGAUUUCUUCCUUGUUGAGAUGAAGUUCAAAAACGAAGUUCUCUUCUUUAAUGUUCAAGCUUUCCGGAAUACUAUCAGGCUGAUAGUAUUUGUUAGUGUUCAGUCGUAUAGAUUGUGAUCAAGCAGAAUUAUUGGUCACAGAGGCGACCAAACUUUCAUCAGAUAAUUGUGGUGAUAUGUUGGGUAAUAGGAGGUGAUAAUUAAAGCAUCUUGAUUCAUUAAUAAUGCAUUUACAUGAAGAAAAAAUCUUUUUGAAUGAUUCAAACAACACAUAAAAACCAAAUUGCAAUUGUAAAAAUAUGACUCGUCGAAUCCAUUGCUAAAGCUGCACAAGCUCUAUUUCGAUGAGGAUAUGGCUGUUCAGAACUGUGCACAGCUCAAUCUUGCCAUGGCUGUAGUUCUUCUUUUGCUGGUAGAGUGCCUGAUUGAGAAGCCUGGAUCUGCACCAGCAUCUCAAAUCCAUUCAUCGCGCUAGUCAAGCCCAUCAGAGAGUUUAGUAAGUAGGAGGAAGGAGGCUGUUGACAACUUGACAUGAACAAUGUGAUAGUUGACUCCUUCGAGCAUCCACUGGUUGGACUUGACAUGAUAAGUGCAAAUUCUAUCAUCUUUCUCUUCUUUGAAGACAAUUAUUUCUCCAUUGUCGACACUUCCUACAACAUCAUUGGGGUAAUAUGUUUGUUGGCUUGUACUACUCACUUGCUUUCCUGUAAGCCUGUAUAGUAUUUGCCACUCUUGUACUUUGACUUCAAUUUCCAAAGCCGUAGGAUUCUGAGUUAAAGUUAAAAUUAAGACCCACCAAGGGUUUUGCAGUUGCAACAAUGAAACUAGUCAAAUUACAACCAUGGAUUUAAUCUGGCUUAAACAAAAAAACAAAACAGAUAUACAUAUCAGCUUUGCAUUCUCAUGGGCUUUCUUUCAUAACCUGCUUUGGCAUUGUACGGGUCUCUUACUGGAAAGUGACACUUAUAAGAAAAAAUAAAAAAAAUAAAAUUGGCUUUCCCUUGUAGAUUUUGUUUCAGCUUUGCUCGCAGAGUUGUAUUGAAUCAACACAAAUUUUAAAAGAAGCAACCACCCUUGAUUUGCCUACAUGUAUAUUUUGUCAUCCAAGCAUAUGCUUUAUUUAGCAGUGGGCAUGCAGUUACGCAGCCGUUUACCUACACUCCUACAGUGAUUUUCAUUUAAGAAAAGCAAAUGACUUCAUCCAAUUAAUUUGAGAAUAUUUUAUCUCAAGUUAUGAUACUACAAUCUUACGGAUGGCCUUCAGCUAAGGCCACGUUAAAGAGUCUCUAAAACAAAUUAACUGAACCGCAGAAGAGACGAUCACACGAUAUAGCCUUCACAAACCAAGUUCACCACACUGAAUCACUGUAUUGCAAGCAAUAAAUUGCCUGGCGUCCAUACCUUCUUGUGGAUCUCUGAUACAAGUGGCAGGGUGACGACCAUGAUUGUAAUUUGUAAGGUUCUUGGUUAGCUGAGAAUUCUCAAUUUACGUUUAGAGUUCCUGGUGACAUAUAGAUUAAAAAAUAAACACAAAAUCCAAGCCAAUUGACUUCAUAUGUAGUCUUGCAAUGUUAAACAGAUUAAAGAAUGAAAAAUAGUUUAAUACACAAGAUAUUAGUUAUUGAUCCGAUGAGGUGCCCUUCUGUCUAAUACAAUAAGAAAAUAACAUGGAAAGUUAAUUAAUAUGUUUAGGUUGUCGUCAAAUUAUUGGAACGUGUGAACAUUUUUAUAAACAUGUUUUCUUUUCCAAUGACUGAGAACAAUCUGAACAUACUAAUACACAACACAUGCCACAUUAUCUUCACAUACUGUAUUACAAUAAAGGGCCCCUUAAAAGGAAGCCUAUUGUGCUAUAUCUUACCGUCUAAAGAGUAUCAGAUAUAAGUAAUUGUUAUUCGUAUAUAACAAGCACAGCCGAAAACUUACCAGCAUCAGGUACUUGUCACAACUGAAAGACACACCAGCAGAUUCAGCUCACUAUAAUGAUCCCAGGUGAUCUGACAUCUGAUAUGCUUGGCUGUAACCAACCCUUGCAUUGGCAGGGGCAGGUAGCACAAAAUAAAUGACCGGCAAGCCACGCCAAACCCUGUAACAUCUACCAACCUUGGUGGACACCGAUCUUCCAUCACCUUCGUCGUGAACUCUGGUGGUGGAUGUGAGCUUGACUAUCAUUUCGUAUCCUAUCAGCAUACAUUGGCAGGCGAACAAUUUGGGCGAUUUCAUUUAGCAAGACAUCCUGCGUGAUAUUGUCUUUAAUGCUCCGCAUAACCUGAAUUAAUUAUACACAGCAACGUUAGUACACAUACUUCAGUAUGCCUUCAAGGAAGUUUAUUAAUAAGUUGUGUACGAUAACCUUUCUAUAGGUGUUGAACUCAUUUGGAUUGGACUUGUCUGUUCUUGUACGCAUGUAUACCCAGACCUGUUUGUUAGCAUCCCAAGAACACUCAAUGAUCUUGCCAUUGAACGCUGAAGGAUCUGAUUCUGCAAAUAGUCACUAUUGGCAUUAAAAUAAAAUUUCAUCAUAUGGUAUGUACAGAAGAACCUCCAUAAGAUGCUUAUAGAAUAUUAUAUAACCUUCUGAAUUUCAUCCGACCCUUCUAAUAAUCAAGGCAGGUAUGGGAAGCACCUUCGCUUAAGGUUACUCGAUUACCCUAAUAAGCCACUACUAGACAGGCCCCUCAGGUUAAACAGACCCAUAAAAAAGACCUUGUUAGUAAUUUGGAUAAACUCAGAAUAUCCAUAUGUACUGUCACCGACCCAUCGUAACUCUGAAAAUCAACACGAUAGCCAACUGAAUUACUAAGAUUAACUUCUGUGGGAACCAAAGAACUUGCACACGACUUCUUUAUAGAGUCCGUUGGAUGAAUUCAUUUUUGAAGAUAUAAAAUUUUGUUCACAAUGCUAGAUCGCAACGAUAGAAAUGACAAAAGAAAGAAGUCAUGUAAUAAAAAAGCAGGAAAUGGAAGAUGUGAGUGUUUUCUUGGUUUACAAAUUGGCACACCGUGAAGUUUCCGUAACAGAAAAUUACAUCCCAUGUCAUCUCUCAUUUGGGCAGAACACACAAAUCCCUCCAAUAAAGACAAUUUUUUCUCAAGGAAACCUAAGUACAUCUUCACAGUAUUCUGCCUAGUUUCUCAAUAAAUAAUAUCAUAAUUCACAAGGCACAAAUGGAAAAGAUUUGAGUUACGUAAUUACUUUCAAAAAGAACACUCCCUUCCACUACCCUCUUUUUUCGUCCUUCAUUGAGAAUAAGCAGCUGACGAUAGUCAUCUGUCACCUGUUGAGACAUGCACAUAUGAUUAGGUAGUGUGAAAAAUGUAAGAUUAUCACCACUAGAGGAGAAGACCACUUGCCAGAACUAAAAGUAAUCAGUAACUAAUAGCUAGAAAAACAACCUCAAAAAGGAAAUCAAUUGUAUCUGAAUAUUUCCACUUUAGGAGGCCUUCAUGUGUUCGGAGAACGUAAGGAUCAUCCCAUCCCUGAAAGAAGCAAACAACUGAAAACAUUUAUUCCAGCCUAUAAUGAAUGUGAUCAGGUUUUGUUGUUUAAUUGGUAACACAAUGAUGAGUUACAAAAGGCCUGUUCUAAACUAUGAACUUAAAUCUAGAAGAUAAUUCCAGAUGAAAUGAUUCAUCAUGCCAAGAGAAUAGUUAUAUGAGUAACAGACCAUUGAGAUAUUUGGAUAAAUUGUUUUUCAGUGUCUCUAGUUAUUGACUUAUUUCCUUCAGCUGCAUCUACAUGUUUUCCGAUAUUCCUAAAUUCUACUGUUUGUCUGUAGUCAGUGCCGGAUUCCAUUCAUCCUAAACCACUAAUAUACCAUAAUAUUAACUAAAUCCUCGAUAAAUUCCUCUUAUUUAUAUUAGAAAAAUCAGGAAAUUAACUAAAAUAACUAAGAAUUCCAUAAUAUGGUUAUGAUCAUCUUCAGGCAUUGAGUGAAUGUGAAGAUGCCUGAGAUUCAAAACCAUCCUUCCGGGUAAGAGGAUGUUGUAAUAUCUUUUGUUGGAGGGUUUGUGUAGUGUAAUAUCGUUUUCCCACGUUGUUAUCUUCUUAUAAUUAUUUCAGAAAACAUCUUUCAGCAAAAGAUAAUAUAAUAAAUAGAAAUUGCUAUGUCUCAUAAUAAGACUAGUUAAGUGCACUGCAAAACUUUUCAAGUACCUGGAAAAUAAGACCAUCUGCUUCAUGUGAAAGCUUUGGAAUAAAGUUCUCUAACAGCUUGGUAACAACAGAUAGCAACCAAAAAUCCUUCCUCCUAACCUGUUUAUGCACCAAAACCAUUACCUCAUGAAAAAAAAAAUUCCAAAAAGGGAGACAGUUACAGCAAGACCUAUAAAUUUGAUGUGACAUACUCUGAAUGGUUCCAUGUCAUAUCUAUAAUAAGGAAUUCUACUCUGAUCGAAGAAACGACGUUCAAGAUUCCGUGGUUCAAUGACUUCUCUCUCAAGCCGUUUCCAUCUUUCACAAAACGGAAGCUGCAUCAAAUGGUGAGCAUAAUCAUCAGAUUGUGUGAUUUGCAAAUGAGAAAAAAUAAAAUUAAGAAAGCAAAAGUAAACUCAAAAUGGGUUUCUUGCAUCUGACCUCCACAACAGGCACGCCGUUGAUUGCCAUGACAUCAUAGAUCAGAUAUCUUCUCACCUGCUUCUGAGUAUCCGGCAGAGUCUCAAUCACCAUUUCGCCAUCCAGUAAUGUGAUGUUAUGUGUUUCUUUAUCAAAACCCUUUCAAACACAUUUGCAGAUUGUCAGGUCAUUGAUGUAUAUUAAGUAAGAAGAAAAUCUCACAAGGAGAAAGACACAAAACUGACCUCAUUAUUUUGUUUCAAAGGAAACCGCACCCGGACCCUUCGGAAACAAAAUUUUCUAUCAAUCAAAUAACAACCAUCCCAUGUAAUAAGCAUCAUAUAUCUGGUCCCAUCAGCUUUCCAUGUAGCAUAAUAAUAACGCUGCCUUAGCAGUUGUAGAUUGUCCCUGCAGACAAUCGGAUAGAAAAUGACGCCCAAAUGCGUAGUGAAGACAAUGAUAAGCAAGAAAAAACUUCAAGUCAGUGAAACAAUCUCAUUCCUUAAAUACCUGAAAUGGAAUUCUAAUUGUCUUGUUUCUACUCCACAUCCAAAAUGACAUAUGUAUUACAAACUUUGAUGGUUCUAACUAAAUUACCCAGAUAAUAUGCGAAACAAAGUUUAGACUAUUGAUUUCAUAGAACCUUCAAUGGAUACGGAUACGGCUAUACUCAUAGAUAUGCUAGUACUGUGUGUGUGUGUGUGUGUUUUUCUUCUAGAUUUCAUAUGUUAGAUCGUAAUUACAAUCACAUUUAAUAUGAUAUAUUCUUGAAUGUUACAACAAUAAUGAAUUCUAUGGACAUGGUAUCUGAAUGUCUCUAUGACGAAACAUAUAAGAAACCUAUCAAGAGGUCAGAAAACAAACAUAAGCACAAUAGAAUGACGAAAAGGUGUUGAAGAAGUAUCCAUAAAGUAGCGGGUGACAACAUUGGAAUUGUAUCCUAUGGAUACGGGUACGCUGGACUAAACAUAUCAGGGAUUCCAGGUACCAUAGAGGCAUAGAUGGUAAUAGGUAGAGGCUUAGCCCAAACAUUUAGCAUUGACAGAACAAAUCUUGCUGCUACAUUCAACUCGAGCUUUUUCGUAUGAGGGAAUUACAUAUGUUCUUUGUACCUUAUUUGGAUAAGAGAGAGAGCUUAAUUUGCAGGUGCUAGGGACUCAUCUAAGCUACCUUAGAGUACAAUAUGAAUUUCUAUUCGGCAUUUAAUUUUCCUUGGUAGGAGUCCCCACAAGCCCUUCUAUUUUCCAAUUUUUCCUAUGUAAAUACUCAGCAAAAUCAUAUAACUGUAACUAGGCAAGCAAAAGAUCUGGAAGAAAAAAGAGGGAAGUUUGACCUGUUAAGUGAAACUGGGUGUGAUCCUGGAAAUUGCAUGUUUCCUUUUGCCUGAGACCAACAGGGUAAAAGAAGAGGAAAAAAAAUAAAAAAAUCAGAGAUGCAAUUAAACUAUCAAAUAAAUUUUGAAGGAAUGUACAAGAAAUUAGUGAGUCAACUACUUUUACAUGCAAGAAAGUCAAAAACAUUGCCCCAAAAGAAAAUUCCACGAACUAGUGUUUCGAAAUCGACGAGCAAACUCCCUAAUAUAGUUCUGUUGAGAAAAGUUGACUGGAGAAUGGUCUAGAGUAAGAAAAUUAGGCUAGAUUACUUUACAAUGAAGUAACAAAAGAUCAUCUGGAAAAGGUUAGCUCGGAAAGGUGGCUACUGAAAUAUCAUUAGAUGAGUUGAACUAAAGUCAACAAAAUGUUCGAAGAGGAGCACUCACCCUUCUACCUUGACCAAGUAAAUCGUAACAACAUUGUUGCAUCAUAUCAUUCUCGUCGUAAGGUAAUGCAUCACCUAUAACGUCAUCAUUUGUCAUUUCCUUGUUUUCCAAAACCUCCUGCAACAAAGAGAAUAACUUGUAAAUUAUACCACAGAAAUUUUCCAAAAGCUUCAUAAUUUUAUAGAUGCAAAUCCAAAGUUAAGAAAAAUCCUCAUUGCUGUACACCCGGUCCUAGAACCAUAAAGCGUGUUUCUACUGCUAUUCUAUCUAAACCUUGUUUUCCGUUCAAAUUGGUCUAACUUGUAAGUGGGGAUUCACCUCUGCUUUUUUUUUUUUGUUCAUGUGUGUUUUGUCGUUACAACCAUAUUUAGCAAUGAUGAUAUACAACCUCAAUAGUGUGAUUCCAUAGGGGAUACUACCUCAUCACUGUGACUGUAUUAACUAUUAACUCAAAAAGGUAACAAGUCGUACUUACUAGGAACGAUAUACUUACAUGAACAGAAGAAGAACCACUAUCCUCAUCUUGCAUCAUUUUUCCAUUAAGAUCAAAUUCAGAUGAUCUCUUCCACUCUGGAGUCAGAGGACACUCUAUUAUCUCAGGUCUUCUUUCACCAUAAAAUGUGUAUAGUUCAUCAAUAUAGUCCUGCUUAUAGAUUCCUGGAGGACGUGCAUUAGCAAAUCGUUGUAGAGCCUGCCAGAUAAACAAUGCAAAACAACGCUCAACAUAACUACAUCCAGCAAACCAUAACAUAGAUUAAUGUAAGACAAACAUAUGCUGCUCACCUCAGUGACAGAGACAGAUUGCGAACGCACAAGAAAGUGAACAAUCAUGUAACCUGUGCGGUUAAACCCAUGAGUACAAUGAACAAGAAUAUACUUUCUGUUUGACUGCUUUUGGCUGGAGUAGAACUGUGAAACCUGGAAAAAGAACUAAAGAUAAGUAAGAAAUUACAAUUUAUAUUGUGUUUAUUAUGCAGGUGGUGAGUUGUUGGCAUAUAGAAAAAUGCUAAAACAUGAUUAAUUCUCAGUAUGUGCACUCCUCCACAUGUGGCAAACAUACAUAUAAAACCCCUCCAAACUGGUGGAAUCAGAGCCUAACAAUCAACAUACGUGGCCAUGUGGGUAUGAAAAUUUUGGAAUGAACCAAUUCCAGCAUUAGGGAAAAAGAAAUUACCUCAUAGAUGAAAUCAUUUACAGAUUCAUUGUCAGGUACAGAACCCCUUCCUUUGCAUGCAAUCUAAAAUAUACAAGUAUCUUAGCACAUUAGAAAUUAUAUCGCAUUCAAUUGCAGUCAAUAACGCUUAAUCAAGAUUUAGAUAAAAUUACUUUUACAGUUGGAAGUAAAAAAGGAAUCUGUUUCUCACCUUUACAUGCCUAGUACCUGCUUUAAUUUUCUUCCAAUCAGAUGUGGGAUAAUAGCGACUUGUGUUUGUUAGAUCAAUCACCAAACCAAUCUGAAAAAACAUGAUAAAAUACUAUCAAGUAAUAACAUGACUUUUUUUUUUACCACAAUAGAUGAAUUCAUUUAUUUUUCUAAAUAAAACCUAGUAGCAAAUCUUUAUUAAUUGUGUUAAAUAUCUAUAAACAAAAAUGACUCUUCACAAACCAAAAGAAAAUGUAAGCAAAAUUAACUUCUGAACAUUGUGAGAAAUGUAAAGAAGAAAAAGAGACAUAUAACAUAUAGAACUGUCAAAUGAUACACAAUGCUCAAUCAGGGAUUAUGGCUCAGUCGUAAAAUAAAACUAUUGCCAAAGCUUUGUAGUGGCAUCCAACAUUCCGAAUAACAUGGAUAUGAACAAUUCAAACAAGAUAAUUACAUCCAGAGGUUUCAAUCAUUGACUGACAUAUGAAGAAGACUAGCACAAGCAGAAUCUACGGAAGUUUGACGGCAUUAAAAAGUUAAUAUAACAAGAACUCAGACAGUACUACUUACUUCCCUUCUCAACUUGCCUUGUUCAUGAACUGCAUCUCUACAAGAGUAUCUCUUACCAUGGAUGAUAAAAUUAUCACCUAGUGGAACUUUAGAAGGAAUAAUGUAGUCAAUAUUCUGACCAUAAGCCGGGCAACCCAACCAGCCUGCAAAAUGAAAAACAUUAGUAAUAGUUUAUAGGACAAACAAAACCAGAGAACAAUCAUGCUUAAUAUGUCACAAGUCACCAAUCUGAACAGAUUCAACAGCAGAAGCUAAUGAAAUGGUGAAGAUAUAUAAAAGAAACCAACAAAUACCGUGAUGAUUUGAGUAUCUGACAUCAGCAAGUGCUGCUAUACACCUAUACCUAACAAAAGCCUAUUUAUUUCACUACGUCAUGAAAAAGUAUGGCUGGGGACUAACCCUGACCAUGAGUAGUACCUCUGUGUUACCAAUCCUUGCUUGACAGAUACUUACUAGAAUAAAAAUGAAAAAAUAAGGGUCUGUUUGAUUGGUCCAUGCAAUUAUUCCCUGAGAAGUAUCGGAUUACACAGAUUUUACAUUGAUUAUGUAAGAAAAAUGCUUAAAUAUCAAAGAAUAUCGGACAGAAUCUGAUAUUUUCGGGGAACUUUAGUUGCCAAUUCUAUAGAAACUUUUCCCUGCUUAUCCCCUAAAAGAAAUUCCCGCUAUAUUAGAGCUAUAAUGAUAGUAAUAAUUCCCACAAACGUGGAUGGAGAGGACACUUGUAACGGUUUAAUUGAAGAUUGGUGGAGUUUAAUUAAAGAUUUGUUGAAGAUAGAAUCAAACACUCCGAUAUGGAAUCCGAUACUUCCCCGGGAAUGAUUACACGGACCAAUCAAACAGACCCUAAAUAAAAGCCUACUGCAUAACAUUUGUCUCUUCUAAAAAUUAGUGUUCAACGCCAUCAUAUUAACAUUUUAUUAUACAAACUCCCAUUUGUUAUGCAUAACUUACCCCACCAUUAGCAUGGCAUCCAAGUCAUGUGAUCUUCCAUUAUUUUCCAAAAAUUCAUUACAAUGAAUGUCCUGAAUCUACAAAGAUUCUCUCCCCUGAACUCAUAUUUCUGGUCCAUCUCUCAUCCAAUGUACACGUUCAACAAGCUUCUUCUUUAUGAUUACAUCACAUUUGGGUUUCUUCUUUUAAAUAACCCCAUCCAUUUAAAAAGUAAUACCAAAGUUUCUAUCGCUUCACUCUACCAAACAUAUUACCUUGUGACCUGGUGCUCCCGAUAAUAGUAACAACAAUUUAUAACAACAUUUCAAGUAGUUCAGAAUUACAGCAGCAGGGUCAGUUUAUACUCUUAAUACUACAGUAUGAUGGAUGACAAUUUAUAACAUUUCAAGUAGUAAGCAGGAUCAGUUUAUAAUUUUAAUACUAUGAUGGGUGAUAUUAAUAAUUACUCUGUAUGUGUGUAUGUAGUCUGUGUGCCAAAGAAAAACUGAUAUCAAUGUGACUGCAAGUCGAUGAAUGGAAUGAAAAUAUCAGUUGUAAGAGUACAUACCUUCAGGAAGCUUAUUUCUGUCAUACGGUCUAGAGUGUUUGUUAUUAUUAUGAUGAUAACCUUGACCACCUCUAUAAUAAUGUCCACCACCAUGGUUUGACCCUUCACCAGGGUAAUCUCUUUUAAAUCCCCUACGUCUAUCUUCUUGUUCCUAAACAAUGAAAAUAAAAACAAAAUCCAAUGAAUUCAACAUUAAACAAACUUUAAAUUAAUCAUUAAGAAAGAAAGAAGAUAGAUUACUCUGCUACGUGGUUCUUGAUCAUAGUGACCUCGAAAUAUCUCAUCUUCAUGAUCUUCAGGUACCACAUUCAAAUCCAUCUGAGAUAAAAGUGAGAUGACUAGAACAUAAAUCUCUUAUUAAAUUCUUCAAUCGAACAAUAGUAACAGAUUAAGAUUAGAAAACAGUAAAUUAGGGUUUCUAAGUAAGAAAAUUUUCUUCCAUUAAACUCUAACUCGAAGCUUACUUACGAGUUCGUGAGAAUGCAAUAGUACUUCAAGUAUGCGACGCGUGCGAUUAGUUCUCUGAGUGACGAUUGACGAAUGAUCGAACUUCGAAACCGGGAGAGAGUUAUUAAACUUAUUGCAACUUAAAUAGAAGAAGAAGAGAGAGAUUCUCGUGAUGUGUAGAAUCUAACGGUCUAAGAGCAUUCCCAAUAGUAAAAGGGUUUUAUGGGUGCCACAUAGGAGAGAGGGGAAAGGUUUUAGCAAAUAAUUUAUGUUAAAAGUGAUUAGUACUUUUAGAGUUACCCAUGGUUAGUUUUAAAAUAAGUGUUAAAACUUAGUUUCACUUUUUCAAAAAAAAAUAUAGUGUACAUUGUGAUGAAAUCUAAUUUUUAAUUAAUAAAAUGAUCCUACGUGGCACUUUUAACUCUUUGGCAAAUUUGCCAAGGAGAUAAAAGUGUUUUGCUUGAAAAGUGUGUUAAAACCCACUAUUGGCAAGAGUUUUUUCUUAAAAAUGGCUAAAAGUGAUUUAAAACCUACCAUUGGGAAUGCUCUAACCAACGUUAUUUACUGCUAUGUCUCUAUCUGGCGAACAAAUCUACAAAUCUAGAGAAGGGAAUCCGGGUUACGUACGGUUUCAGACCCAUUUUUGGCAACCGACUUGCUCAUUACGGAAUGGGUCAGAUUUGGUUAAUUUCAGGCCCAAAAUUAAAAUCAAUGGAUUGUCAGCCCGUAAAAGGUCAGAUUUGAUUUGACCGUUUCAUAAGGGUGAUGGGCUUACAUUUUCAAAAUAAAGCCCAGUUUGUAGCACGCUCUCCAUAUUUGUGACGUUUUUUUUUUCUUAGGAAUAUUUUGUAGUGACGUAGAUUUUUCUAUUAUAGACAAAGAGCCAAGGAUGAUGAAACCAUAGUACAAAAAGAUCUUCAAGAUGAAGCUUCUUGUGAGUUUCGUAGUUCGAAAGGUGGAUUUUAUGGGAUUUUGUUUGCUUCUGAGGUACUUAAAGUGCUCUUUCUGGAUAAUGUGGUGGUUUUGCUGAUUUCCAAUUCUGCAGGGCAGUUUUAGUAAAACUACUUUAGUUGAUUGAUUACUCUUAUUCAGCUAGUCACUAGUCAUGUCUUCUUUCUCGGAUCAAAUGGAACAUGGGAAUUCAACCCAAACUCCUUCAAGUAGAGGAAGUUCUGGUAUGUCAAACUUUAUUUGUUUAUGUAUAAUGAUUAACGAACCCUUUUGUUUGCCUGCUGAUUGGUAUUUCAUUUCAGAAACUAUAUGCAUUUUGUUUGUACAGAAUUGACCAUUGUUGUAUGAGUCACUCCACAAGUAGAUAGAAGGUAAUAUAUGGUAGUAGUAUAUAAUAUAUAUAGGUUCAUCUGUCGACGCACUAGCUAAAGUGAUAUUUCGGUACUUUUCAUUGUAAUUAGAAGGUGACUUUUGUGUACAGAAAUGGAACGAACUCAAUCUCAAAUGGAGUCAGGUGUAUAUAUCACAUCUUAUGCCGCGGCAAUGUUCAUUGCUGCUAUGGUAACAAUUGGGGUUCUAUUCAUCACAAUUAUUGCCACUUUAACUGUUAUGCUGCGAUCUUGCCAGAAUAGGAAUGCUGGAGUUCUUCAGCUUGGGGUAAGAAGUGAUGAAAAAAUGUUCAUUUUACAUGCAGAGCUUAACAGAUUGGAAGUAGAGGAGUUUCCUUCAAUUUGCAAGACUCAUAUCAUUCAGUAUUUCAAAGAAGGUGAUCAAUAUCUAAGAGACUUGAAAUGGACCAUUUGGAUGAUUCAUAGUUACUUAAAUAGUUUAAAACCUCAUGCUGAUGGUUUGGAUGUGGUGUUGAUGGACUUAGAUGAUAUCCUCAACGUUGUAGAGGACAAGCAUCAAGCAGCUGCACAUAUUUUAGAUUUAUACACAAAGCUCCAAGCUAGUGGGUGGUCUUUAAUUUUAAUUACUAGGAAACCCGAAACGCUGCAUAUUGUAACCAUGGAGACUCUCAUUUCUUCUGGAUACAAAAGCUGGUCUUCUUUGAUUAUGAGGUAUAUGAUCUAUUAGUGUACUUUAUUACUCUAGUAUCACCUGGCUUUGUUAAGGAAUCAGGUUAUUGCAGAUCAGAUGAUGAAAUGCUGAUGGAAAGCUGGGCAUACUUUUCCAACAGACGAGCAGUGUUGCAGAAGCUGGAUUUCCGCAUAUCAAGUGUGAUCAGCAGCCAUAUGGAUGCAUUAACAGGUCCAUGUUUAGGCAAACGAGUUUUCAAGCUUCCAAGUCCUCCCAAUUGACCCUAACAGCCAUACGUCACGAGUUUGUAGCAGCUAUGAAGACAUCUCGAGGUGUACAUACAUGGGGGAAAUUGCAGUACAUGUUUCUCCUUUCUCUUUGACUUCAGAACACUCAGAAGAAUGAAAAACAAAAAAUUCAAUAUCUUCAGUGCACUUAUAUAUUCACCAGAUUGUAAUCCAAUUGAGCUACAUAUUGAGUAUUUCAACAAAAUCUAUAUAAUACGAAUACAGUUAUCAGCAAUCUCAACUGAUGAACAUAUGAUUGCAGAAAGCAUAUCGACAACUCAUCUAUUCUACAUAAUCAGCCUGAUAUGGUUUACGAUUCACCCUGCAUAAAUACCUAGAUCACUCUUUAAUUCAAUAUGCUAAAUGAAUAGCAACUUUCCUACUCAAAAUGUCAAUACAACAGCUUAAUUUAAACAUGGGAAGGAGAUGUUCCACAUAAAAGGCCAAUUCAAUGAUAUCAUUGUUGUCAAGAUCGUCAUUAGGCUUCCAUCUUCACAUCCAUAGGUAUUGUCUUCUCUCCAGAACCAUAGGGCUCUGAGGCCAUUGGUUCUGCUGGCUGGACUGAUGCAGAUUUUGAAUCCAUUUCCACAAAUGGGCUUUUUGUUUGAGCUGUAUUGGAGUCUAUGUCCAUGGCAGAAGUUCUAGGAGGCGAUGGAGGUUUCACCUCCACAUCAGGGUAAGCAGCUUUGAACCUUGCUCGCAAGCCUUCAUCAACUAACCGCACACCAUUCAACUGGUUACCUAACGAUAUCCACCUGAUACGUAUGACAAAAAGAAACACAAUUUAGUAAAUUUACAAUAGCAGGGCAGGUGUAAUAGGUCACUACUCAUUAUAGAACAUAAAAGAUUUAGAUACUUAACACAUCUUCAUAAUUACCUAUGUAAGAAAGAUGAUAUAAUAGGAUGGAUAGGAAUAUUUUUAUGGAACAAUUGUUUGGCCUAAUAAACUGCAAUGUAAAGUGUCAGCCUAACAUGUAUCCACCUGAUUCGCUAUUUUUUUUUUUUUUUUUUCAAUUUCCAUUCAAUUAACAGAAAAAAAAAAAAAUGUUUACUCUCACUAAGACUUAUUCCUCCACAAGCCGCCCUCUCAUUUUUAAGGAUUAGGAUCUUUUGCAAGGGUGUGACACUAAUACAAAAUAGUUGGCAACAGAGAACCCUCUUUGGAAAGACUAGAACAAACAGACAGCCCUUUCUGAGCCGGAAAAUAAGGAAUUUCACAGUGUAGGUAAAAAACAUACCCAGCAUGUGUGUUGUUCAUUCGUGCAAACAAUUCUAGCUUUCUUGUCCUUGGACUUAUUCUCUCCAGCAAAGGGUACAUCUGCAACCAGAUCUUUUUAGCUUCAGUUUGCAUCAGAUAAGCUACUUAAAGACCCAGAGUAUGUAUCAAGGCGAAAAUCAAGAAAUACCAGUAUCCUUCUUACCUCAUCUGGUUUACGACUAGUCUCUCGAACCUCAGCAACAAUUACAUCAGUAUCAAUGUUCCUGUUUAGUUCUGGAUUACCCUUUAUCCCAACAAGGCAAUGCUCUUUGCUGUGGUUCAGCCAAUGACCAGUGCGGCCAGUUCUAAUAAUUCUCUGAAGCUGAUUAGUUUUCACCCAAAUGAGCUCCUCGACGCGUUUAUAUCCCCAAAGUUCUAAGCUGAUGAAAUAAUACUACACAUAAUAAGAUAACUUUUGGAAUACAGAAGGAAUGAUUUCAAAACUCAUAGUAUCAAGUGCCAAACACAAAAAGAGAAAAAGCUUUGGGAUUCAAUUUAGAAGACUUUUUAUACCAAUCACGUCCAAGUUCCAUAGCACGUCCAGUGACCCAAAGGAAUAUUAAACCAUCUGUCUGCAGAGCAGGCACGUUAAGAUUCUUCAUUUCCUCAUCAGCCAUUGUUCCAUAAGGAAGUUCCAUAUGAAUGUCCCAAGGUGGAUCAGCCAUAAUAAUUCCAAACUGCCCUAAGAUGUCCAUCCUAAAUGAACGAAUAUCACAGUUUAUCCAUUGUGGCUCACCAAGCUCUACCUCUGAACAGUACUCAGCACGUUGAGAUUUUAUCAUAGUGGUAGGAGCAGCUCCACCCCCCAUCAUCGUAGGUGGCACAUCUUGGGUUGGAUCAAGUUCAUAAUGAACAAACUUGCACGUCUGACAAUAAAAACAUGAAUUAAUCAUAAUAAAACGGGUUCAUCAUGUAUGUAAAGCUACAUACUUUUUUUUUUUACUGACGAUGUGGAUAUAAGGAUUAUCACCUUCAUGUGACGACAAGUAUCCAGAAACGAGCAAUCCCCUAAACCAACGUCAGUGUGUUGUGCGAUUAUCCGUCGAAAAUGAACCUAACAACACAAGAUGUGUCCAUCAAAGCAGUGUCAUGUAUCAAACAAUCCUUAAACUGAAUAGCAUUAACAGAUAUACAAUACAUUAAAGAGAGAUUAGCAUCAGUGUGCUAAACAAACUACAUGCCAAACAGACACAAGACACCAAAAAAAAAAAACUUCAAUGCAAUAUUAAAAGAGGAAAAAUAAGAAGCAACAUCAUACUAACCUUCCCACAUGCAACAUAUGAACCAGAUUGUCGCCGACAAUCUUCCUUUGUUACAGCUGUACAAUAUUCCUUUACUUGGGAACCUCCUUUGCUUUUGAACUAAAACACAAAUGAAACAAAUAUUUAAUUAUAUUAACCUGUACAGUUGGGAGAAAGAGGGAAACACCAUGAACAUAAUGACAUUUCAAGUUAAGACAAGUGCAAAGGCAAGUAAAUAAAAAGUACAAGUUGUCACUUUUUUAAUAGGCUAAAAUAAAACUAUAAUUAAAUUCUUUGAAAAAAAAAGAGUUGAAAUAUUUCCAUGCACCGUGGGUGCUAAUCUCAACAGGACUUAAACCUCAUAACACCAAGAUCAUUUAGGGCCCAUACGGCAACCAACGCAAAAUCAGGAAGGAAUUUCCGAGUAGUUUUCUAUAAAAGGAGAAAGCAGCAAGUAGAAAGCUAAAAAAGAAAACUUCUCCGAUAAUUCCUUUUCUAACUUUUGGAAAUUACUUUCUAAAAUACGUGUUGCUCAUUGCCGAAUAAGCUUCUGACUUCUUUACUUAUAGAAAGUAAAGAAACACAUCGGGAGGUUUGCCGAACGGGCCCUUAAUAGAAACACAGAACCAAGCAGACAAGUCCUUUUUACAACAAAAAGCCAAUAGGUUCCAAACCUUUGCUGCAACAGCUGUUUCCCUGGCUGUCGGCCGGUGGAUGAGGUCCAAAAGCUCCUCUCCAGUUUUAGACUUCUGCUGCUCCCUAAAGGACUUCUUACUCAGCAAUGCUUCAAGGUCCUUUAUAUCAUCUUCUUCACUUCUAGGCUUCUGGGUUGUAGAAUUAAGUCCACCCAUAGUUGAAUUUGUCCCUAAUGGUGGCCUGUGAAGAGGAGGAAUACCACCCAUACCUCGAGGAUUCCCCAUGAAUCCCAUACCUCGAGGCUCUCCCCUCGCAACCAUCAUUGGCCCUGGAGAUCCAGCAACAGAAAACAUUGAUGAAUCAUUAGGUCCAAGCCACAUAUCUUGGUGCCUUUGCAUUGCUCCUCCCAAUCCAUAAACUGCCCGAUUUGCGUCAUUUCCACUCGUUAUUGGCAUUUGUUGCAUCUGAUUGUCAUCAUUUGAAUUCAUUUCUUCCUGCUGCUGCGACGAAUGAUGAGAACUUUCUGGCAGUUCUUUUACCAAUCGACUCCGGUCGAUCCCCAAAACCAUAACCCGAGAUUUCCCAUUAGCUAAAAACUCCCCCAGUUCAACUCCAUUCUUAUCAUCAGCCAUUGACCUCAAGGCCAUUUCAACUGCCAAUAUCGCACCAGACUCUCCUCCAAGCUCAAGCAAAGCCAUUUUCUCUUCCGGUGUCGCAGACUGAUCAUUCUCCAGCUUUCUUAACACAGCAGCUGAAUCAAUUGCAGUAAAAGGUAUUCUUUCUAAUAAACAAACAGCAACCAUUGCUCGAACAACAGAUAGUGGGCUCCCGUUAUCGUCCAAAACAAGCAUAUUCUCGCUAUCAGAUCGACGAAUCUUCAAAGAAGUUUCAGACGAUUGUUUUGGGUUAUUAUUCUUCUUAGCAAAAGUGGUUUCGGGUUCCAGGGAAUGAUUAUUAGGUUGGUGUUCAGGCGUGAGUGUUCGAUUUUCAGGUGGAUUAAUAGCGUUAGGAUUUGGGGGUGGAAUUACAGUUGGAGUGUAUUGAAGACCAUUGAAGGCAGAAACAACCUUGAGAGAGAGAUCAAGAGAGGAAACAAGAUCUGGAACUAAACUUUGAAGAGAAGCAAUGUGUUGCUGUUGAACCAGGUGUUGGGCUUUAAUACGAGCUUCGAGUUGUUUUCGAACCUCUUUAAUUGAGGCAAUGUCGUCCUUGCCGUCUAUUUUGGUCUCCAUAUUUUUUCUCCUCUCUUUUGCCUUCUAUUUGUCACUACAACCCAGACUACUACACCUGCAGAACAGGCAACAGCACACCAAUAAACAAAUUAAUGUCAAAAAACCUUCCUUUAUUCAACAAAUACGCAAAUUGAAAGUUUAGCUAUUGAAUAACUGAUUCAAACAAAUAUAAUUACUGAUGCAAAAUCACAAAAACAGCUCAUCACAUUCAUAUAUAACAACUCCAUCAAACAAUGCAAUUUAAAGAAAAUAAUACCAAUGGUGAUUGCCAAAAAAGAAAAAAGAAAAAAAAUCAAACCUUUCAGAAAUUCGCCAAAUGCCCUUUAGCAAAUCUUGAUUCUUUGAUAGAAACAAAACCACCUCCGUUCAAAAACAAAGUUUUAAAUUUUGAAGAAAACUCUACCAUUUUGUAUGUUUUCAUGAAGAAAACAAAACCACCUCUCUUGUUAAUUUUCCUUUAAACCAGCUAAAGAACACUAUAUAGGAAAACAAUUCAAAAAACCAAUGUAAAGAAAGAAAUUGCAUAAAUACAGAAAGAAGAGACAACCAACCUAAACGAAAGAAACUGGAAGAAGGAAUUAAAGAGAUGAAAGAACCCUAAAACCCAUUGCAGCAACUGUUGUUCGUCGUUAUGAGGACUGAUAGAGAAGAAGAUGAGAAACGUGCAUAAGGUUUAGUUGCGCGUGCUGUGCGAGUGCGUGGUGAGUGACUGAGUGAGUAACUUAACUCGGACUCGUUUUAAGAACUCAAUGUGAUAUUUCGGACCCAAUGAAACCCGAAAAAAGAGGAGAUUUGAUCCAAAAGCCAAUUUAACACUUGUCUGCUUAUCUCACCUGUUCAUCAUGGAGAGAGUUCUAGUAAUCUAGUAGACCAAGAAAGAGACUGAAACCCAAUAAUAAUGAUUAGAUUUCUUCAAACUGUUUCAAAGAUAUGUGUCUCUUCAAUCUCGCUUUAAGGUAUAUAUUUUCAUUUUCGAUGUUGGUGGAAAUUGCAAAAGUCAUUUCUUUGAUUUAUUUAUUUCUGUUGAUAAUUAUUGAAGUGAAUCUUGAUUCGAGCUUUAAGUUAAUCUAGUUCACGAGAUUUAUCUGAAUCAAUGAAAAAGUUUGAAUCUUUAGUUAGGUGAACUACUCUACUCUUUAAUUAAUUGAAAACCCAUGAACCAUUUAAUUGUUUGGAGUAGAAAUUCAGUCUUUUUGUCCAUUAAUUUAAAGUAUAUAAAUCAUCUGAAUUGAAUCAGUCUUGUUUGAGUUGGACUGUGUGAAUUCAUUUAUUUAUGUGUGUUUAUAGACAAAAAUGUUCAAACAUGCUAUAAAGAAGUUGCAGAAUGAAGUAAGCUAUUUCAGAAACUAAUGAGGAAUUAUUCAGCCAUGUCUUCUUUCGCCGAACAAAUGGAACAUCAGAAUUCUACCCAAAAUCUUUCAAGUAGAGGAAAUUCUGGUAUGUGAAGCUUUCCUUAAAUGUGCAAAUGUGUAUUAUUAUAGACUGCUCCUAUGUGUUUGAUGAAAGACCAGAUCCAAAUGAAGCUAUGCAUGUGAGGCCAACUUAAGCAUGUUUGUUGUGCUUCUUAGACCUGCUUCUGACAUGUUUUCUUCAAUCUAUAAGAUAGGCCUGUUUCUGACCUGUAUAUGUCACAAGUUUCGUUCUAGACCCGGUGACUCAUUUUUUUUUUAUCUAUCUGAUGAGUGGGAAUACUUUGCAGUUCAUUAAUAUCUAUUUGAUAUAAAUUAUAAUUUGAUGCAUGCAGAAAUUGGAAGUCAUUAUCAAAUAGAGUCGGGUCUCUUUAUUACAUCUUUUGCUGCGGCAACCUUCAUUGCUGCUAUAGUAACAAUUGGGGUUCUAUUUAUCACAUUGGUUAUCACUUUAACUGUUAUGCUGCAAUCCUGUCGAAAUAGUAAUGCUGGACUUUUUCAGCUGGAGGAAAGAAGUGAUCAAUAUAACUAUUGCAGGAUUUUUGCUCUACAAGCAGAGCUUAAUAGAUUGGAAACCUAUGAGUAUCCUUCAAUCUGCAAGGCACAUGUUAUUCGAAAUAUUAAAGAAGGUCAAUAUCUAAGAGACUUGAAUUCCACUAUGCGGGUUGUCAGUAAUUACUAUAGUAGUUUGAAACCACAAGCUGAUUGUUUGGAUGUCGUGCUGUUGGAUGUGGAAGAUAUCCUUACUUCAAAUAAGCCUUAUAACGCUAGUCCAUUGCAGCACGUGUAAGUCUUUGUAUGGCAUGUCAUUGUGUUGAGCUUUAAAGACUUCUUUUUCGUACUUUUUAUGAGUUGAGACCUUCUUAAUGACAAACUUCUUUGUUUUUCCACCACACAGAUUAAGUGUUCUUGAGGACAUUAAUCAACUUGUACAGGAUAAGCUUCAAGCAAGUGUGCAUAUUCUAGAAUUAUACUCAAAGCUGCAAGCUAGUGGAUGGUCUUUGAUAUUUAUCACUAGGAAGCCUGAAAAGCUGCGAAAUGCGACCAUAGAGGCUCUCAUUUCUUCAGGAUAUGGAAGUUGGUCGUCUUUGGUUAUGAGGUAAUUUGCCUUCAGUUGAUAUGACUGUAAGACCCAGUGGAUAUUUGAAGUAUAUUUCUUUAUUUCGAACCAUCAAAUGCACAAGUGGCAGUUGGCAAACUCGAGUCACCUUUUCUGCACUGGCUCGUCCACUUACAAUAUGAAUAUCUUACUUACAAGAGGGACUAGUUUUAUUAUUGUAUAACAAUAUAACUUCAAAUGAUUGGUUUUUGCAGAUCAGAAGAUGAAAUGGUAAUGGAAAGCUGGGAGUACUUCUCCAGGAGAAGGGCAGAGUUGCAGAAGCUGGAUUUCCGCAUAUCAAGUGUGAUUAGCAGCCAUAUGGAUGCAUUAACAGGUCCAUGUUUAGGCAAACGCAAUUUUAAGCUUCCAAGACCUCUUAUUUACAACGGAGAGCUAUUUGUGAACAGUGGUAUAUAAAUUGUAUAAGCUAUAUAUUGGAUAGGAAUGUCUUUUAUUUGUACAGAAUGGACUUUUUUGUUAUUUGAAUUCGAAAUCAAAUUGAAUUUUCUGAUUGUAUGCAACUAAUGUAAUUUUAAUUUCCAAUAAAUAUAGAGUUGUUGUUUAUCAGAAGUUUGUUCUUCACUUCUUCCUUUACUAAAGAACUAAGUGAAAUGCACGUCCGUUGGACGAAUCGGGUGGGCAAUUUUUAUUUUUAACCUUGUGUUUUAUACCUUCAGUGAAUGACAAAAAGUUGCAAAAAUAUAUCAAGUUUGCAACCAUGAAAAUUUUAGGUGUGUAUUAUGUAGGUUAAUCCACCGGUAAUAAAUAAAUAAAUAAAAAAACAUAAACUUAGAUAACAAAACCUACUACAGUAAAGUAAAGAAUAAAUAUUUUUAUGUAACAAUUGUAAUUGUUGAACAUAAUAUAAGAGUUUAGAGAAACAACAUCACUCAAAAUUCAACAUUUAAAAAAAAAAGUAUAGAAAUACAAUCUCUUAAAUAAAUUUAAGUUGAAACUAACCUCAAGUAAAUCUUUAGUGAUUAAGCAAGAAAUUGUUAAACGCCUCGAUUAUUUGUGAGUUUUACUUUCAAUUAUUACAAUAGUUUUAUCAAAAGUUCAAAUUUAAAGUAGAAAGAGAAAGAGGGGGAAAAGAUGAGAGUGAAAAGAAGAAAAGGGAUAUAAGUCUCUUCGGUUUUGUUUCUUGAAUUUAUAACCACCCAGUUAGUUUCCUGGUUUGUAGGCAACUAAUUUAUAAAGUUUAUCUGCUUAUAAUGAAAUUACUUUGAUAACCUUAAAAAUAAAUCAAAUUAAAAAAGUGAUAUUUGAUUUUUGUUAAAGAGGAAAAAGAGUUUUUGGGUAUGAUUUCGGCAUCAGGAAAAAAACACUCCUACUGCGUUAUAAAAGUAGAGACUAAGUGAAUGCACGUCUGUUAGACUUAUCAUAUUCAGUUUCCUUGUUUUUUGGUAAAAACAAUGUUAUUUUCCUGAUUUAUAGGUAAUUACUUAAUAAAGUUUAAUUAUUUAUAUUGAAAUUACAUAAUAACCCUUUAUAUCAUAGAAGAUAUGUUUGAUUUUAGUGAAAGAGGAUGGAUUUUUUUGGUAAAAGUAUAGAAAUACAAUCCCUUAAAUAAAUUUAAGUUGAAACUAACCUCAACUAAAUCUUUAGUGAUUAAGCAAGAAAUUGUUAAACGUCUCGAUUACUUGUGAGUUUUACUUUCAAUUGUUACAAUAGUUUAUCAAAAGUUCAAAUUUAAAGUAGAAAGAGAGAGGGGGAAAAGAUAAGAGUGAACAGAAGAAAGGGGAUAUAAGUUUCUUCGGUUUUGUUUCUUGAAUUUGAUAACCACCCAGUUAGUUUCCUAGUUUGUAGGCAACUAAUUUAUAAAGUUUAUCUGUUUAUAAUGAAAUUACUUUGAUAACCCUAAAAAUAAAUUAAAUUAAAGAAGUAAUAUUUGAUUUCUGUUAAAGAGGAAAAAGAGUUUUUGGGUAUGAUUUCGGCAUCAGGAAAAAAACACUCCUUUUGCGUUAUAGAUCAAAUCUAUAUACUAUAUAAUAGUGGAGCCUAACAAGUGUCAUGUGGCGUGUUCUCAACAACUUCAGAAUAGAAUUUAAGCCCAACUUUAAGCCCAAUUGAAACCCAGUUGUAGUUAAAAAGGAAAUCCACCUUUCAUGUCAAGAGAGAUUUAUAGAAACCUUAAAACUCUUUAGAACUUAUUCUAAAUCUCUUUUUCCUACUAAAUUCUUCUUUUAUUUAAAAUCCUUAAUUCAUAUAUAAAAACCAUACUAAAUACAAAAAAUAUUAAUUAUAAAUCUCGACAAAUUUAGGUUAAGAAAGGCAUUAAAAAAAACUCGGUUCAACAAAUCACUUAUAAAGUCAUUAUAAAAUCUCUACAAAUUUAGGUUGAGAAGGGCAUUAAAAAAUGUUCAGUGAUUUUCCAUUUUAUUGAAUAACACAAAUCCCGGUGCGUAGCACGGGUUCAACAACUUGUGAAUAACAAAUGGGAAAUUCAAACAAUUCCAACUUCCAAGUUACGUGUAUUGCAACUCUAUUGGACUUCUGGGCCCACGUAGAUGGUAUAUUGGGCCCAUGGAUCUCAUUGCUCAUAAAAAAAAACGCCGACAACCAAUAAAAAAAGCCCACAUACAACCUGUCUACAAGUUCAUUUCGGUGUUUUCUUCACUUCCAUCGCAACCAUUUCGACCGGCAACAACAACUCAUACAGAACGCGAGGUAUGUUUUCGAUUUCGUUGAUUGGGAGUUUGAGUUCAAUUUUAAAAGUUAUAGUUUUCAUGCUAGUAAUUGGAUCUUCAGUUCUUAUUACUAAAAUUGUUGAUGCAUUGAAACUGUUUGACGAAAUGCCACAAAAAGAUUUCAAAUCAGAGAAAAUACUUUAAGAGUUUAGAGUAGAUCUUCACUAGUGUAUAGUAUAUAUCUGUUAUUAGUUUGUGAUGUCUUUUGUACCCCCUCCCCCCUUCUCCUCUCUUCAUUCUUAUGCGUUUUACAUUUUGGGUAGUAUGAGUUUUGUGAAAAUAGAUCACUUUUAAGUUAUAGAAACUUGUAUUGAUGGAAUGUGUUGAGAAAUGUAAGAUUGUGGGUGUUUUCAAGUUGUGAAUACUACAUUUUAGCACUUAUUGAUUGAUCAUGGAUAUAUUAUCAGAAAUUAUCGAUAUACGAAACACAAUUGGCUAUUAUGUGUUAUUGAUAUUAAAAAAAAAUUGUAUUUAAACUGUGAAGAAACAACAGCUCUUUAAAGUUUGUAGAUAAUAAUAAUGAUUAGAAGGCGAUUAUGAAGCAGCUUUAUUAUUUAAAAUUUGAGUUAGUCUAUGAAAAAGGAAUGCGGGAGGUGGGUGUAAUUUUUAAGUAAAAACAUAAUGAUAUUUUUUAGUCCACCAAUUAUAACGAAGCCUUCUACUGAGAAACAUCUUUAUUUCUUGAACAUGACAGACAAAAAUUUUAUACUGUCAUGCUGUCUCUAGUGGCCUAGACUCACUGAAACCAUUCUGCAAGUAUAACUGUUAGAAAUCUUGCUUGCAUGUUGCUUCUUUUUUGUGUAUCCAGUAUCCACCAUUGUUUCUGAGCAUUCACACCAAGUUGUUAUGUAAUAUGGAGUGCCGGUACCUUCCAACUUGUAAUUAUGGAGACUUGCUUAAUAAACGUUGUCCCAAAACUGAAAAGUUCUCUAGUCUCUACUGUAUUACUGUUAUUUUCUUAUAUUUCCUAUUUUUGAUUUGACCGACUGUUUGGGUACUUUGGGUUUAUAUUCUUUAUACCAAUAUGUUGGGGCUAAUGGCUUUAUAACCUAAAUGUACAGUUGGAACUAGUGAAAAAUGGGUCGAAAAGCUGGUGGGCUAUACAUAAACUCAAAGAAGUUUGGUGCAAUCCAAAAGCCAUGCAUGAAAGAGAUGCUGCAAUUUCUCAGCUGUAUGGCCCUUAACCAUAACAACGAUGAUAGGUGUGUGCGGCAAAAGGAGCUUCUGAGCACCUGCAUGGAUUCUCAGGUACAUAAUAUAUAUUGUCAGCAUAACUGACAAUACUAUUUAAUUACUGAAGAAGGUAUCCUUUCUUUCUAUAUGUUAAUACAUUGUGUCAAUACUAAUUCUUUGUGUCUAAUUUUGUUCCAGAGCAAACAAAGCAGAAAGCCAUUUGGAAGCAUCAACUACCACCUACAGAGGCUCAGCAGAGGCAGGAAAUAAUUGUUUCAGUUGCUGAGGGUAUAUUAGUGAAACUUUUAUCUUGAUUAAUCUCUGAAUUAACUAGUUAAAAAAAAAAAGGUUUUUUUUUAUAUCAAACCAAAGACCAUUAGUUGCUGAAAGCACCUUCUUGUAGUCACUGUGAAUGCAAAAAGGAGAUCUUUCAUAAAUAGAUAUCAUAUAAUGCAUUACGCAACAGUACAUUCUUGGUUUAAAAUAUUUACCACCAAAAUUUUCAGCAAUCUCUGAGUUGUAUGUAUGGCAUGGUAAAUUUGGAUGAGCUUGUUAAAGAGCAGAGUUUAACUGUUAUUUCACAAUGCAUCACAUUCUGUUGAACCAAUGUGUUUAAUUCCAAGAUCAAUUUUCUUAGAAGCUGUGCAUCUGUACUAUUUGAAACACUAUGCUUUUAGAGGUAAAGAGCAUAAUAUAUUGAAGCCUUUGAAAACCAGACUUUAGGAAAGCAUAACUUAUUUUCAAGUUCUUGUUGGUGUAUCAAUUUUAUAACAAGAGAACUCUUUAGGCUUGAACGCUGUAUCAGAACACUACCCUAGAAAUUAGGGCACUCACCUAUGUUGGUGGUACAUGUCUAGUUCCCCAGACAAGCACCAAGUGACCCUAUUUGAAAUAUGUGACACGAAUACAUAUAGUAGCUACCUAGGGAGAGAAAUUAGAGAGAGCAUCUGCAUUAUGUAGGCGAGACCGCGGGAUGGUUUAUGUUUCGUUGUAUGUUAUUUAGUGGGGCCUGCAGUUCAGGUGAACUUCUCCAUUACCUUUACUGUCAGUUUAUUUUAUCAUGCACCAGGAAAGCUCACAGCAGUUUCCACACCGGUCUUGUAUUAUGCCCUUGGCUGCUAAUAUAUAUAUACAUAUAUAUAUUGUGUGUGUGUGUGUGUGAUCACUGAGAGUAAUUACUGUUCUGUACUUAUUUGGUUGUAUUGCUAUUUAGACCAAUUAGUCUGCAAUCUAUCGUCGAAUAGGAUAAAAAUAGCAAAAGGAUAUCAACGCAGAAUAGUUAGUUUUUUAAUUUCCUAUAUUAUAAAAGAAAUUUUUGAAAUACUACACAUCCAUCUUGGGGUGCUUUUAAGUUCACUUUGCAAAUACACCAGACCUAGAUGCAAGUCAAAACAAUAAGAAUUGAAGUAUUAGGAAUUAGGAUAGUACCAGACUAUAUCCAAGUGCGUGAAGACUGUAAAAUAUGGUGGUCAUGACUAUUGUGACAUGCUGUUAGAAUCCCAAGUGAUGUUACUGCUCUGGUGGGCUAUGGGGCUUUGUGAAGCCUUCAAUGGCUGAGGAGCCAAAUGUUCUCCUAAAGUGUGAUGAGAAACUUUGUGCUUUUGUACAUUUCUGAAAUCCGAUUGCCAAUCAAAUUCGAUAUGAAGUUGGAAGUAGAAAUAAAGAAGGCUCGUUCAGUUACUGCUGUUGUAAGAAAUUCUCAACAGAACAAGGAUUGAAACAAACACCCAAGGGAUGAGAUUUCUGAAUACUUGCAAGGAAGUUGGGAGGAAAGUAUUUUUGAAGAAGGCGGCACUAUUAGAUUACAUGCUGACCCUCCAUAUGAAGAGGGUUUAUAUUGCAUUUGGUAUUGUCAAUAACGACGGGAUGUUUCCCUCAAGAAAGGUUUUUCAAAUGUGCUUUUGAACGCGACAUCUUGUACAGCAGCGGGUAAGUGUUGCUUCAUUAACUUGUAACCCUUGUGUAUGUAGCUGUUGAUAGGACAAGUAUAACAAAAUUCAUUGUUUAGUUUAGAGUAUCUCGUUGUAAACCCUGUUUUGCUUGCCUAUGCAAAUUUAUGCCAGGCCAGAAAGAUGAAGAAAUUGAACGAGAUUCCCAUUUAUUAUGCCAAAUUAAUAAACUACUUCGAUUCAAUACUUUAAUCUAUAGGAGCCUAUACGGCUAUACCAUUUUGCAUACAUAAGUUGGUUUCUUCACAAUAUCAACGAAAAUCCUAAGUAUCACAAAGGAUUUAACAUAUCAUUAAAUUGCAAUGUGACUAAUGAUUAAAUGAAGUUGCUAAAAUUAAGAUUUAAUCUUUUAAUAAUGCAUUGCAAUGGUAGUAUUUACCACACUAUGUAGUUUUUGAGAUGUAUAUAUAACAGCUAGAUGAAAUAAUUGAACAAUAAGCAAAAAAUACAUGGACUACCAAAGAAAAAGAAGACACCCUAUGACCCUAAUAACAUAAACCACAACAAAGCAAGUGCAAUAGAAAUUUUGUCGAAGUUUUGCCGGCCAUGAUCUGCUUCAAGAAAUCUUGAAAGGUUGGAAAAGUCUCGAUAUCUGAUCUUGAGAUUCACAUGAGAUGAGAGAAUUGACAUGAACUAUGAGUUUUUGAUCAUCUGUGAAAUUGAUCUUCAACAUCUUCAAUUUGCAGGAUUUGAGUUCAUAGGUAUAUAACGCAGAUUUUAUGUAAUGCUUAAAUAGUAUUACUUCACCGUUGCUCAAACUAAGAAUAGGAAUCAGAUUGCAUAGCUGAGGCCUAGGUCUUAGUCUAAUGCUACUUUCAAUGGAGGAACUGACAAUGCUAUGUCUUUUUAUCCAUUUUUCACUCUGAAAGUCCUCUAAAAUCCAGAUAUCUUUUUGGAAGUCGGACACAUGAAACAUAAUCGCUAAAUAUCCCCCCAUCUCAAUUAUCACGUAAGGUUUUCUCUCACCAUAAUCUGGGAUAGAUGUUUUUCGAGCCAAUUCAUCAGUUACAUCCAUAGAUAUAAUGUACUCAUGCGCACAAUUAACGUUCCAAUGCAAAACUUUGUCAUUCACUGCAAUUGGAUCACCCCACCUAAAGUAAUCUGGAUUAAAAGGCCUGUCAGAUAUGUAUUUAAAAGGUCCUGGAACCACUCUCCAUUCUGCAUCAAUACCUAAAGACCAUAUUUCAUAUCCCUUUUGAUCAGCAUACAUAUGUACUACUUUAAACACAUUCUUGGAUGAAUCGAAUGCAAGCCAAGAUGUACAAUCUUCAUGAGGACAAGAUGAAGGACAUUUGGGGAGUGUCGUUUUUCUCAUAGUAAGUGGAUUAAAGAUGUUAAGGCGUCCUGGACAAUCUAAUAUUGUGCUCUCAUCUGCCACCAAUAUCAAACCUCUGCAACUAUUCCUAGCCUGUCCCUUCCAGCUACCCAUACUAGAAUCACGUACGAGUUCGUCCUCUUUCAUAUCAAAUAUUUCAAAUUUGGAUUUACUUAUCCGACCUAAUCGAUGCCAACGCGUUGUAAGUAGAAUUAACUUGGGUCUAGAGUAGGAGUAGGGAACGUUUUUUUGAGCAAAAUCCUGUGUGGAAAUUACGUUCAACCAUUCAUGGCAUACAUACCUGAAAUUUCGAUAAAGAGUUUCUGGUGGGAUUCUGAUGAGUAUGUCGCAUAUGACGAGAUUCAUAGGAAUAGCUGAACUUUCUGCAGACUUCAUCACCAUCUGAUAUCUCUUCAUGUUCUUCUCUAUUCUCUUGUUUUUCUUUUUGAUUGUUGCCUUUUGUCUUGAUGGUUCAACAUGGUUGGAAACAAGUUGUGUGUUGUCGUUGUUCUCCAUGAUCUGUUCCUUUGCUAGUUCACCAUGAUCCUGCUGGUUUUUUUGCAUUAUGGCUAUGACCACCGAUUUCGUUUUGCUAGUUUAGCUAGACACGAAACGAGGCUAAUUAGGGUUUCUUCUUUCGUAUAUAUAACAAAUAUAAAUAAACGAGGUUAAUUAAGGAUAGGACCUUUAAUUAUAUACUUAGUGUUAAGAAGAGAACUCUAAUCAAAAUAUGUUUGUCCGUAGGUCUUCACCACAUCUAUGACCCUAGAAGAAAACCCAAAACCCAAAAGUAUGUUUCUUUUUAUAAGUAGUUAUAAGAUUUUCUAAUAGAAAUUGCCUUUAAAAAGUGGCGGUUACUAUAAGCUCCAUCCCCAAGCUUAUAGCAGCUAUAAGCUACUGGAUAAAAAAAAAAAAAAAACAUGCAGCACCUAAAUGUUGUACUAAUACAAAUUUUCUUAUUGUAAAUUUGUAAUUGUAGAAGAACCGCAUUGGUAUGCCGUAUGCAGUCUAUCUUUUGAGCUUUGAUUCUUGUAUUCUUUCUUAUUAAUUGAAAUCUGCACACUUAGCAAAAAGAAAGAGAAGCUAUCUGUCAUUCAAGCGUGCAAGGAUUUUGAUCGGAUUUUGAUCGAACCAGCAUCCCCUGGCUUACUGGGGCUUCCAUUAAGCAAGCUUCUGCUAGUUUAAUUAAGUCAAAGACAAAACAUAUAUACCUGUACUGUUUCCGAUGAAAAUUCAAGCCUAGACAGUACCUUUGAUGUUUACUGCUUAUUCUUUGAUAGUAUUAAGCCCGGACUAAUGACCAAACUACAAGGAUCAUUUGGUUUAGUGAUAUUCACACCUUGUGCUUUCAGCAUGUAAAACGACUAUGAAUCAGGGUUCCUACUCCAUUAUAUUAUGCUCAAACUAUAAAGAGCUAGCUUUAAUGUCUGAGUGUUAGUUGCAUGACAUAUCUGGUCACACAAUUGGCAUAUCCAAAAUUUGGUUUCUUAUGGUUAGAACAGAUCUGCUAAAGAGAUCGACAUAUAUGAAUUCCACAAAAAUGAAUUAACAAAAUGGCUGAACGAUAUUAUUUUGUACAAGAACUUAUUUGGAACCAUAAUGGACACAAUUCAAAGCAGGUAAUGAAGUUGUAGCUUAUAAGUACUGAAGUACUGAACAAUAUGCAAAAAAAGAAAACGACUAUCAAAAGAAAAGAAGACACACUAAUGCCUAAUUACCGAUAUCAAAAUAAAUCCAAGUAUGAAAACAAGGCCAAGUUUAAAUUGCAAACCCUUAUUCUUCUUCAAAAGCCUUACUUACGCCGACUCAGGACAGCUUAGUUCUCAGUGACUGGUCCUGAGUUCUCCAAGAGAUGAGACUGUCAACAUGAACAUCGAGAUCUCGGUAUCCAUUGAAAUUCAUCUUCAAUAUCUUCAGUAUGCCAAGUUUGAUAUCGUAGGUGUAAAAUUUUUUUUUUGCCCUGAUGAGUUUUUUUUGAAUAUAAUUAAAUCACCGUUGCUCAAGCUUAAGAUUGGAACAAGUUUCUUUAGCUGAGGCUUGGUAUUCAUUUUGCAUUUUACCGAUGAUGUAGUGAUACUAUGUCUUUUAAUCCAUUUACCUCUCUGAAAAUCCUGCAAAAUCCAUUCAUCAAUCUGGGUAUCUGACACGUUAACCAUAAUCGAUAAAUAUCCCCCCAUCUCGAUCAUAUUAUAACUACCCUCAAUAUCUGGAAGAAUUGUCUUCCGAGACAAUUCAUCACUUACAUCAAUAGAGAUAAUGUAUUUGUGUGAGGAAACAAUUCACUAAUACUGAAUCAUUCCAAUGGAAGUCAUCAGCCACACUAAAGGUCCUGUCAUAUUGAUCCUCAAACGGUCCAGGAACCACUCUCCAUUUUGUAUCAAUACCUAAGGACCAAAUCUCGAAUCCAUACUGAUCAGCAUACAUGUGUACUACUUUAAACACAUUGUUACUUGAAUCGAAUACAAGCGGACAAGCCAAGAUGAACACUCAUCGUGUAGACAACCUGAAGGACAUUUUGGUAGUGUGACUUUCUCUGAAGUAACUGGAUUGAAUACAUGAUGAUUUCCGUUAAGAGCCUUUGUUGUUUCAUCUACCAAUACCAAUCCUUUGCAACAAUUUCUAAGAAAUCCCUUCCAUCUUCCCACCUUAUAAUUGUGUACGAGUUCGCCUUCUUUCAUCUCUAGUACAUGGACUACCGAAUGUGAAAAACGCGGGAAGAGCAGGAUUAGCUUCGGUUUAGAGUAGGACAUGUUUUUAUGUAUAAAAUCUGGUGUCGAGAUUAUGUUAGACCACUCUUUGCAGACAUACCUAAAAUUUUGAAGAAGUAAAUCUGGUGGGAUUCUGAUGAGUAUCUUGGUGAUAAUGAGAUCCAUAGGAAGAGUAGUAGGCUCAUGUUUUAACACCUGAUAUCUCUUCAUGUUCUUCUUCUCUAUUCUCUUAUUUUUCUUCUUGAUUGCUGCUUUUUGUCUUGCUGAUUCUUCUUCAUGGCUGGAAACAAGUUGUGUGCUUGUGCUUUCCAUCUCCUUUGUUUAAACUUUCAACUGUACUCAAUAGGUCAGGUUGAGAGAAAGGUUACAAAGGAAAAGAAGACAAUCUAGGGUUAAUAUAAGUCGAUCUAUAAUGAAUAUUAUGACAAUAACCCAAAGAUAGUGGGAUUUAAAUCAACUAACUGGCGUUAAAAUUGUUUCCUUAAACACAGGAAGGGUUUUAAUAUAACAUCAACACUAUUAAGAAAAAAAAUGAUACACUAAUAAUAGAAGAUGUACAUCAGCAAUUAAGCAUUUAUGCAAGGAAAAUACUCAAAUUGAAUCUGAUUUACAACUCUGAUAAUAUUGCAACUAAGCAACUGAUCAAUCUUAAAGAAAGUCCAUACAGAUCAACAUAGACCUCUCUUGUUAUUAUCAAGAUUGAUCAUCACAAAAACGCGCAAAGGUAGACACUGGUCACUGGUGAAACCGAGGGUACAUGUAGGGGACAAAUGCUCAAAACGAAGAAUCUGAUGACAACUCUGAUUGAUAAGCUAAUAAUAAUAAUAUUAUCUGGUGUUGCAGAUAGGCGACUGCUCGACAAAUACCAGUCCAUCCACUUAUUCAUUCAAUACUGAGAAUCACAAAAACGCAAGGGAGACAUUGUGAUACUUCUACUUGUUUUUGCUUCUAUUUGGCUUGUUCGAAGAUGAAAUCGUCUGAAACACAAGAAAAUCACAUAGUUAAGACAUAAGAGAAAUAUCACUCUAGUUUACUAUCAACAAAAUCCAUAAAUUAAUGAAUCAAGUAUCUAUGUGUAUUACAGUAUCAGCUGCAGAAGGGAUCCAGUCAUUAGUGGCAGGGUUUCCCUUGCAAGAAGCGUGGGAUUCGCCGUGGGAAUCAGCUUCAAGCUUGAAACAGUUAUUGGUUGUGGUCUCCAUGCCUAUGAACCCUGUUCCUGUCUAAAGAAUUACAAAUCAUCAACAAGAUUAAAGGUUAUUUAUAUUAGUCCAAAAAUAUUCAAAUUCACAGUUAUUUUAAUUUCAAAGAAAGAAAUUUUGGGUAGAAUACUACUGUGUGAUGCUGUUUGUCUACACCAUUGAGAUCAUCAUAAUACUCUGUUUCCACAUAUUCCUCUGGUGUGUCACUCCCGUUGUAAUUCAGUUUCUUCAUUCAACAAUAAUAAAAAUCAAUUAAUCAAUAUUUCAGUGCUCUUCAUAGAUAUAGCUAAUUAAAUUAAAGAAAACCACCAACUUGUAAACGAGAUAAACCUGGGGAUCAUCACUCUCAAGAUGCUGAAACUUAAUCAAUUCAGGAAUAUUGAUGUCGCGAUCAAAAUUGCGUUGAGAGUCGGAGUAAUCAGAGGAAUAGUCACUGCGUUGAGGUUUAGUGUGGCGUUUAGGAGCAAUGGCAUCAAACUGCUCUCUAGUCUUUUCUUCUAUCUUUCUCUCCUCUUCCAAGGAAACAUGAACAUCACUCCUGUUUGGCCUCAUUGCCGACAUUUUUUUUUCUCUCUUAAUUUUCUUUCUCAAUAUAUCUUCUUUACAGAAAUUUAUACAGAAAAGAACAUGUAAAACUCUCUGCCAGAUAUUUUGAGUUACUAUCGAGAGAAAUAUCUGUUCAAGCUUAUCCAAAAGAAGAGCCCCACACAGUUAUUACUCAUCACUGGUGGCUCAUCAAUUACUCAAAGAGACUUUCUGUCGUGAAAGUGAAGGUCUAACUUUUCAACCUAUUAAUCAAGAAAGUGGGGCAUGUGGUUCUGGACUUGGUGUUGGUUGCAAGCCAUAAACCCAGGCACAAGCAAAUUUUUAUUUAGUUUUUUUUUUUUUUUUAGAUUAUUAGAGAUACCCUCUCCCCGUUUGAAUAUAAAAUUAGGACACCCCUAUUUCGACCCCUCAAUUUUCGUUUCCGGCCAAAAUAUGAUUUGAACUACCAAAAUUGCCUUUAUAACAGGUUAGAUUUUUUUAUGGUAUUUUAAAAAUUAAAACCACUUCCGCGUAUCAACCCAAAAGUGGUUUUCACCAUGAUAUUCGAUUUUUCGAUCUACGGCUUAAAUUAUAUCUAAAGAUAAACUAAGUAAUCUAGUCGUUGUUCUUUCGACACAUGGAUUUGACAAUUGAAGUAUAUCUUCUUCUCUUUUGUUCUUUUUCUAUUCAUCAUCACCAUUACAUGAAUGAAAAACAACAAUCAAAUCUAUGAAUUGAGAACUUCUUUACCUAAAGAACUUACUCAUAAUUGAAGAAUUUAAUCCUCACCUUCCUCAUCAUAUUUUUUGCACUAUAAAUUUCUAGUUCACCUUCCAUAAAAAAUUCUAGUUUCUCUCAACUCAAUUCUCUUAGUUUUGAGUAAAAUGAAGGUAAAAUCUUAAAAUAUAUCACAUUAUAAGCUUGAAUCUUAUUUUAAUAAGAUAGAUGUGCAUUGUCUUCCUCGGAUUUGUAUUCUUGUAAAAAUUUGUAUGUAACACUAAACUAAUAACCAAAUGUGCGGUAUCACAAUAUUUUUCAAAAGUGGAUUUACUUCAAAACCACAAGAGGGCAUUCUGGGUAGUUCAUGUCAUUUUUUUUACUAAGGGCCUGUUUGAUAACAUUCACCAAAUUAGCCACAAAAAGUGGCAAAUCCCAAAAUGUGGUGUAUUUGUUAUUUGCCAAGUAUUUUUUGCCUUCAUUCACCGAGAUUCGCCAAUUCGCCGUGUUUGAUAACCAAUCUGGCAAAUUUGUGGAAAACUCAUUUGCCAUCAUAUUUCUGUUUGAUAACAACUUCGGUGAAUAUGGUAAAACUGAUUUGCCAUUUUCUCUUGUGUUUGAUAACUUUUGUGAACAUGAUAAAGUGGCAAAUCCAUUUUUAUAAAAAGCCCAUUAGGUAGCUUGGGUCCAUGGAAGCCCAUGAAACUUGUUUUUUUUUUUAUUUUUCUAUAUCCACAAGAUAGUAAAAUAGGUCUGACAAAAGCCCAUUAGGUAGCAUUGGGUCCAUGGAAGCCCAUGAAACUUUUCUUUUUUUGUUUUUUCAUUUUUUUAUAUCCACAAGAUAGUAAAAUAGAUCUCACAAAAUAAAUCCAACAAUUUUUUAACUUACCAUAGAAAUACAAUAUUUAAACAAUCAUUAAAUCCAAUUGAAUGCAUUGGUUAUCAUGCUUGUUUAGAGUCUAUCAUGGAAAGUGCUACUGACAAAGAUGGAAUAGAGUGGCCAGAUUAGAUUUUCUUGAAUGAUUAAGUAAUAGAUGCCAAAGGCUAAACUUUGAAGCCGUUAGGAUUUUAGGUUGAUGUUUGAGCUUUACUGUAAGCAACUAAGCAUUGCAAUGAAUGGUUUCAUGUCCUUGAAAAAUAUUCAUUAUGUAAUUGGAAGAAGCUGAUGGUUGAGCUUUACUGGAAGCAUUGCAGUGAAUAAAAGUUCCACAGAAUACUAUGAAUGGUUUCAUGUCCUUGAGAAAUGAUCGCCAAGUGUGCUGGGGGGUAUUCCUAAGUUUUCUCUGUGUAUACUAUUAUGUAGCUGUGUAGUUAUUAUAUCAGAACCAGGUUUGGGUGUAAUGCUUUUGUUCCUGUUUGAUGAAUAUUUUGCUUACUAAAGGAGAAGAAAAUUAAUGUUGUUCUUAUGCUGAUAUACACUUCAGAUAGUUUGCUGGAAUUCUUGGUUUCUCUACUUAUUAGCAAUAUAAAUAGAUCCAUAAAGUAUUUGUAAGUUGUAACCCUGAAGUAUUGUUUAGAAAAAUUACGAAUUAAGACGACAAAGAUUCCUGGGCAAGUAUAUGAGUAGAGAUAAAUUAUGAUCCUAGCUAAGCUAAAAAGAUUAACACCAAGCUUAAAACACAAACUAAAAUUUCAUUUCAACUGUAAAAAUAAAAUCCUGGUUUGUCAACUUGCAGUAUAAGCAAGGAAACAUACUUCCUAUAUAUUUGAAAGCAAGCAAACAUGAAAACAAGGCUCCGCGCGAAUAUUAGAGCUCAAUGUAUACUUAAACUAAACCAGUGCAAAGGCUUGGAGUUUACUGUGGAUUAGGUGGGCGACUAUUGGCAGCAGACACCCUGGAACCCCAUUCAAGCAGCUCUUUACUAGUAUCAUCCUUGUGACAGAUCACCUCUAUGAAGCACAAACAGUCCUUCUUUUCCCCAGUUGCAGUCUCAAUUGCUUCCACCAGAUCUUCCUCGCAGCGAACCUGAAACCACCAUAAUCAGUUGAACUUUCUUACAAACCCAUUACUGCAAUAACCUCAAUAUAAAAAAAAAAAAAAAAACUCCCAAUGGUUACAACUCAUAAUCCUACCUUAGUCGUCCAGCAUUUGCCUUGACCGUUGUGGAUUGCCUCCACAAGCCCAGUGUAGUUCCAGUUCUUAAUCACAUUGUAAGGUCCAUCAUGGAUCUCCACCUCUAUUGUAUAACCACCAUUGUUGAUAAGGAAGAUAAUAGUGUUCUGCCCGCAUGUCAGCAUUGUAGAAAUAUCCUGGGCUGUAACCUGUCAACCAAAAUAUCAGUCAGUUCCCACAGAGAAAUGGAGCCAUUACAUUAGAAUUAUUGAAUAAUCAUGAUUAUUACCUGGAAACUUCCAUCUCCAAUGCAAGCAAUCACCCGUUUAUCUUUUGCUGCCUGCGCAUAACCAAGUGUCGCUCCAACUGACCAGCCAAUUGAUCCAUAUUGCAUCUAAAACUCAGUACAAUCUCACAUUGUUAUUCUUCAGGCAAUGAUCUUACCAAUAUAUGAAACUGAAAUUAUAUAAGUUGUACAAAUCAAGUCAGUCAACAGAAAAUGUUUGCUCACCCGCAGCCUUGAGGCAGUUUCAGUUUUUGGCAGUUAAACCAGGAAUCUCCAGUCUCAGCAAUCACAGCAGUAUCACUUGAGAGCAUAGCUUGAAUAUGCUUAAACAGGAUAUUAACCCUUAAGGGGAAGUCCAUCUGGUACAUAUAUUCGACGAUAAUUCUCAUAGGCGGUUGGAUUGGAUCUAAGCCUCUUUGCAAGUGCACUUCUUUCAUCAAAACGCACCCAAAUGAAGGGCCAUUGGCAAUGACGACUCUGUCAGGAUGAACAAUAAUUGCUUUCUCUUUCUUGAGUAGUAGCGAGUACCCCACUGAGCUGUAAUCAUUAAAAAUAGGCCCUGCAAACAAGUAACCAUUAGCUGAUUCCACAAUUUCAGAACAAAAUGCUGUACUCACAGCACCCUAGUAGGUUCCUAUGAACCUUGGGUGGUUCUCAGGGACAAGCCCUUUGGCCGAUGGCAUCACUGCAACUGGAUAACCACAAGCAUCAGCUAAUUCAACAAAGGCAUUACAAGCCUUGGCCACACGAGGGACAAAUGCCUGAAAAAUAUUUGGGUGUUCCUUGGGCUCAAGGUCAAGUCAGCAGGGUUACACUAGCUCCCAUGGUAGAAAGGAUUAGAGACAAAGCAGCUACUUGGUGUGGAAGAACUCUGUCAUUGGAGAGCAGAUAUCUUCUUAUCAAGCAUAUACUCACAAGUAUCCCAAUACAUAAUAUGGCAGUUCUCAAAUGGCCAAAGAAUGUUACAAAAACAUUAAACAUUUACUAGCUGCAGCUUUUUCCUGGUAUAAAACAGACCUCUGUUGCAUUCUCUCUAUCUUACAUUCUUACCAAAGAUUUCCACUAAAAUCUCGAUAUCUAAAACCUACUACAAGAAGUUUCUUCUGUCAUAAAUCAAGCCACAGUUUAUUUGUAACUGCAGUUUCCAGUCCACCUUGUAACAUCAUCUUUUUCUUUAUUUUGUAAUUUUGUUAUUAUUUUAUAUUUUUGGUAAACAAUUUACGACCCUCACUUUGUAUCAGUGAGCCGGAAAGUUGAAAAAUGUUUGUAUAAAUUUGGUUUUUUUUUUUAUAAAGUUUGUAGUAUUUCUUUCAUUCUAAAACAAGAGAAAAGGAUAGUACAACAAGAUUACUUGUACCUGGGCAUGAAUUUGGUUUAUUUGCAUCAUCGUUUACAGUAGCUUGGUUGGUAGCCAACCAUCCAAUAAUAGUUUGAAAUUCUGAAUGAAUGAAUGUAUUAGCAUAGUUAAACAUUGCUUGUCUGCUUUGUAUAUCUUGUUAGGUUUUUGCAGUCCAACUAAAAGAUAUGUGUAACUAAUAUAAUUCAGGGACAAAAGAGAAGUCAUGAAAUACAGAAAUUAAUAGAAAACUAAUGAUACAACCUCCUUACACAUAACUAAAUUAAUUAAUUACACUAAUCAGAUUAUCUUAAUUUAAUUCAUUACAAAAAUAGAUGAUUGUGAAGAAGCAGCAACAGCAGCAGCAUAGAAAGAAAGAUGUAACUCAUAUAAUUUGAGUAGAAAUUAAAAAACUAAACUUGUUGUUUAAUUAAUCAUAAAACUCAAAUUCAUGAAUCAAAAUCUGUAAAUUGGAACGAAGAAAUUUCAAACAAAAAUUUAGCAAAUUACCAAUUGGAGAUGAAGUAUGAAACUACCAGCUUUCUUCAAUCCUUUUUUCAAUCCUUUUUUCUUAACAAUGGAGUAUGAAGUUACCAUCAAGGCACCAACUGGAGAUGAAGAUGGAUACUGGUUAGAUCGAGUUAGAGAAAGAAGAAGGAGAAGGGAGACGGCUAGGUUUCACAUAUACUAGCAGCUGACCCGUGGUGGUGGUGGUGGUGGGUAGUAGUGGUGGUGGAGACUAAUAAAAAUAGAGAAGGAGAAGAGUUGAGAGAGAGAGAGAGAGAGAGAGAGAGAGAUCUAGUUGCGGUGGUGAGGGUGAGAGAGAGAGAUGGAGUUUUCGGUUGCGGCAGCCAUUAUCGAGAGAGAGAGAUCGAGUUAGGUUGUGUUUUCUGUUUUUGUUAUGUUAUAUAGUCUGGCGAAUAAUGUUGGCGAAUUCGCGGUGAAUAAAAAAACACCUAUUCGGGUGGGCGAAAAAAUGGUGGAUUCGCCGAGUUUUUUAGGUGAAUGGGUGUAUUUUGACAAAAAAAUCCGGUGUAUAAAUAAUUUACUCCAAAUACGCCAAAUUCGCCGAGUCUUUAUCAAACAUCAAAAAUACCGGUGAAACGCGGCGAAUCACCCAUUCACCACGGCGAACCGGUUAUCAAACAGGGCCUAAGAAUAAAAAAUGGGGGGAAUCACCAAAUUUUUGAAAUGGGGUGUCCUAACCAUGGUUUUAAGAAUCGGCCGAGUCAAGUUUGAACCGGCCGGUUGGAAUCGGGAUCGGUGGUAUCCGACUCAAAAAUUCAUUGUUGACUCGGAUCAUCAUAGAAUCGGUUUUAGAACCGUUGAAUCGGUCGAUUCUAUAUGUAAAACUGGAUGAAUCGCCGAGUCAAACCAAAUUUUUUUAUAUAAUUUUGUUUUUUUAAUUUUUUAACUAAAACUUGAAAUCAAUUUCUUUUAUAGUGAUAAGUAAAUUUAUAAAUAAACCAUAAAAUUUGUUCAACCAAGAAAGUUUUCCACUAGAAAGUCUCAAACUUAAUAGUAAAAUAAUAAAUAUUUAUUUAAAAUAAUAAAUAUUAAAUAAAAAAAUUAACAAAGAAUCGGCCGAGUUAAACUUGAAUCAGUGAUUGAAACCGGGAUAGCAUACCCCGAUUCACUCUAAAAAACCGGUUCUUAAAACCAUGGUCCUAACUAUGCAUUUCGAACCGGUUCUUAAAACCAUGGUCCUAACUAUGCAUUUCGAACGGGGUAAUUAGCGCUUUUUUUUUUGUUUUUUGGUAGCAGGCAAAAUAUUGAUAGCUGCCUCAUUGUACAAAUGAGCUUUCACUCCCAUACCAUAUAAUUUGGUCUCACAGUCUGUAACCUUUAAUCAACCUGAGCAAAAGCAAACUCGGAAUCCUAGCUUCAAAUAAACUUGUCUGAUAGCCAGUGGCCACACACAAAUGCCCAAUCGUCUGAGUUGAUUAUUCAUCAAACCAAACUUCUGGAAUAAUUCAACCAUUAUAUGACUAAUAUUGUAGUGGUUUUUAAUGUAAAAGCAAAUCCAGGAGGAGACUGCCUAUAACAUGAAAUCUAGGCUUGGAAGGUCAAACUGGGUCAGUAAUAACAUCAGACAAGAUUAACUUUGGUCUACGUGAAAUAUUAUAGUUUUAGCUAGUAGAACCACAGCACUAAUCCAGGGACAGGCCAAAACAAACAUCACAAAUCAAAGUAGUAACAAAUCCUUGUGAAUUUCAGGAGCAAAGAAAAGGCAUUUAUUUCAAUAUCUAGAGCAUCCGUAGAAGACAUAAAUUAAAAUCCAUUAAGGGACAAUAUGAAGGUACCCCUAUUUCCCUUUUAACUCACAUUUUAAAUACUUGUUCAACUUCCUCAAAUACUCACAAUCUAUACAUAGUUGACUUAGACUAUCAAUCAAACCUAACAUAUGAGUGCAAAAAUAUAAAUAAAAAGACACUAAACUGGAAAAAAAAGCUGCUGAAAAAUCCGCAGUAAUACUGCUACCACUCCUGUUCCAAUUAUUGUGGAGUUAUGCUUUUCAAACAGUCAAUGGUACAAGAAGUUGCAUCCCAAUGAGAUGGCCAAGCAGAGGUGCCCCUUAGUGCUACGUUUCAAUAUCCUGUGUAAAUAAACAAACUAAAAGUUACUACCAAUGAGGAAAAUACAAGUAAUUUAAACUUAAUGGAUACUAUGAUUUAUAGAAAAGAAAAAUAAAAGGACCUCUAAACAUUCUGAGACUGGAUACGUUCACAUCAAUCAGCGGUUACACCUUGGGUUGCACCAAUCAGGCUUCCGUCCAUUCCUCCCGAGGACUCCAUGGCUUGUGAAAUCUCUGCUUUAAGCUUUUCAUGCUUCUCAGUCAAUCCUGAUGAACUCAGAGCCUCUGCAAGGCUCUCUGUGAUUAAAGUUUCAAUCUUACUUUUCAGUUCUGGGUCUGCUGCCUUCCCUGCCUUCACCCACUCCAAUUUGAGCAACCCUAUCUUGUUUUUGAGAUCUGUAGACUCGAUGGCAUCGCCCAUCACUUUCUGAAUUUCUUUGUUCAGUUCCUUAAUCUUGAUCUUCAAUUCAGGUGAUGAAGUCAGUUCACUUAAAUCUUUCAUUCCUGGUGCCACAGGUUCAACUUUCAAAUUUAAUGCCUCCAGCUCUUUAACCCAUUCCUCCUGUAUCUCCUUCCUCACCUUCAGCGCUUUCUCCUUCAAUUCAUUCUCCUUAGUUCCAUCUGCAUACCCGUUACUAGCUACUUCGGCCUUAAAUGCCUCAAUCUUGUCCUUCACAACUGUGGCAAACCUCUUAUUUAAUUCUUUUUUCAAAGUCAAUACUCGCUCACUUUCUUCUGACAAUUUCUUAGCUUUAGAUAAUUCCUUCAGCAUGUCUUGCCUAUACAUUAAGCUUGCAUAGUUAGGAGCCUUCGAUAGGCCCUGCUCGAACUCCUCUGUAAGGUUAACAAUCUUAUCUUGCAAAGCUGGGUCCAGUGGAGCGGAUGAACUUCUCGCCUUUGCAUAUUCCUCUCGCAACACUUUGAUCUUGUCCUUUAAACCCAUGGCUUCAACAGCUAUAGAAUAUUCCAUAUCAAUUUCCCUUUUAAGUUUCCCUAUCAUCUCAUCCACACCCAGCUCAAAAGGCUUUAAUGAUGAUUCUCCCACCUUCAGAAGACCCUGUUUCAGUUUUUCAAUUUCAUCCUCCAAUUCACGGUCCGGUGUUUUGCUGAUAUAUCUCGUUGGUAUAAUGGAUUUUUCUUUCUUUUUCACAAUGGGUUUGUCUUUCUUUUUGAUAAUGGGUUUGUCCGUCUUUUCCAUAAUGGGUUCGUCUGUCUUUUUCAUAAUGGGUUUGUCUGUCUUUAUCAUAAUGGGUUUGUCCAUCUUUUUCAUGUUCACCUUCUUUUUCGGAUCUUUUGGUAUUCCUUCUGCGAAACCACCUAACUGACGGAACUUGUAAUUUCGAUGGUCCAGCAGCUUUUGUGUGUCCAUCUCAAGUAGUUCCUGUACAUAUACAAAAUAUUAUUUUGCUCAGAUCUAAGUCACGAAGCAUAAAUUGUUACAUAAUUAAGGCUGAUACUCACGUCCAUUGCUUCAGUGAUUGCGAUUUUUAUCUGCUGUGAAGUCCAAGCCGAAUCAGCAUGUGCACCACCAAGAGGUUCCUGUCAAAAGGGCAGAGACUAUUCAUUAAAAUGAAUCUGACAUCUCUUAUUGCAAGAAAAAAAAACCCAUCCUAACGAGUGUAAAAUACUCAUGCCUAUAGACAUACUCUUCCUGUAUUCAACCCCUUCAGACUGAUAAGAACUUCGUGUAAGGUGAAUUACAUAAAGGUUUACGGUUUCAUAGCAUAUAAAAUAAUGAAUAAAUUGACACAGAAGAAUUUAGAAUGGAAAGGGAUCAUACAGGGAUGAUUCCAUCACAAAUUUUGAGCUUAGACAACUCUGCAGCAGUUAUCUUCAACUUCUCCGCUGCCUGCAAACACAAGUAAUCUUCCGAUGUCAGAAAUAUUAACUGAAGUAUAUUAUGCAUUAUUGCAGUCACUCAAAGGUCACAACACUGUACCUUUGGAGAAGCUUUGGCAGUCUUCCACAAGAUCGCUGCACAUGCUUCUGGGCUGUUACGUGAAAAGAAGAAAACAGAUUGACACAUGCAGAUGGGACCAUAAGAUAUGUGAUGUGAAAAGUACUAAAGCUGGGAUACUACUUAUUUAUCAAUAAAGUAAACCAGCAGGCGAUAAUGAAGAGGCUCAUAGCAACAGAGAUAGGUCAACCAUUUUGAAGAGCCAUACAAAGUCUUUAUAUUCUACCAUAAUGCAAGAAGAUAGUCAUAUAAGAUAAGAAGGCUUACGAAAAAUAAUUAGUAUACCACCACUCACUGAAAAAAAAAUUAUUAUUUAUUUCAAGAAAAGGUUUCAUGUAUUUGUGUAUCCAUGCAAUCACAAUGUGCACCUCUUACUAGCAUUCCUUUGUGUAUGUUAUCUUUAAAAUAGAUCCACUGGUGACAAUAGAAAAUCUGUGUGACGUAUCCGCCCUCAAUGAACUUUGCCCUUAACAUAAAGGAAUGAAGUGAUAAAUCAAAGUAUCAACUCGAAUUCUUAAUCAUGAUAUAUGUUCCAUAUGCGUUUAUCAUACCAUCACAAAUUCAAACUGAACUACUGAACUACAGCGUAUGUGUCUCUAAUUUGUUUGAUCAUUCAAUUUGCAUAUACAACAUUUGUGUGCCACUUCAAAGUCCAAACAUACGCAAGAAAACCUGGCUAGUAAAUGCCAGUCUAAAAGAACAGCCAGAAAAUAGAAUACAAUUAUGAAACUAGAAUUCUAAAGUUACCUUGCAACAUAGAAAACUGCAUUCUCAAGCAUUAACAAUUUAUUAGCACAUCCAAUGGCCAGAGCACCUCCAGAGCCACCCUCCCCAAUAACAAUAGAAACAAUUGGAACCUUUAGGCCAAACAUAGUCCUCAAAUUGUGAGCUAUGGCUUCACCCUGCAUACAGAUGGUGAGCAUUCAGCGGAGCCACUUAUUGUAAAUAGGAUACAUUUUACAAGAAAGUUCUAAUACAUACUUGGCCUAAUUCCUCUGAUUUGAGAUCUGCAAAAGCCCCUGGCGUGUCAAUGAAAGUGACAAUCGGAAAACCAUGAUGAUCCGCGUAAUACAUAAAACGCAUAGCCUUCCGGUAACUGUAUAAACAUCAGUUUCUCUCUUAGUGUGAUCAUCAUCUUAAAAGAACCUGAGCAUUGAGUUCUAACCAAAAUAUACAGAUGGGUUUUAACCCACGAUUUGAGAACCAAAAUAUACAGAUGGGUUUCAACCCAUGAUUGAGAAGAUCUAUACAAUGGAAAGAAUAAAAGAUAAUUACAUAUCCUUUCCUCUGUCCAGAAACAACAAGAGAUGAUAAUAUUAUUAUAAACUACAAAAUAUUCUUCUUAUGCUUAUUUAAAGCAUGCUAGCCACUGAAAAGAACAUACAUACCCGUGUGGAGUAGGCAUUCCAAAGUUGCGUUUAAUAUUCUCCUUUGUGUUUCUACCUUUCUGAUGGCCCAUAAACAUAUACCUUCUACCAUCAAUGCUUCCAAUACCACAAACAAUGGCAGGAUCAUCAUAUCCUGCUCGAUCUCCAUGGAGCUCUACGAACUAGAUGUAAAUUAAAUAAGAAGUCAUAACAUAACUACUGAGAAAAAAGAAAUGAAAAGGAAGAAACAAGAACAGUAACUUGUAUUACCAGACCUUGUCAGUGAUGUUAAAUAUAUGGUCAAGAAACGUUGGCCUGUUUGGAUGACGUGCAAUGCUUACACGUUGUAUGGGCGUUAAAUGUGUAUAGAGAUCUUUUAAGGCCUGAAAUUAACAUAACAAAAAGUACUUUGAAUGCGUUUGCAGUUUAAAUAAAAUAGUAAUAAUACAUGAAUGUCAUUCAUAGAUAUCAUAUGGUCAAAAUUGCAAUAAAAACCAUUUCUAAGCAUUAAAGUUAACGUCUAGCAAGGAAGAAUUGAUAGAGGUAGUACCAUAGAACAGAAUUAAAUUUAAAAUGUCUACCAACAUGCUCAUUAACAAGUAAAAGGUGUGUGAGAAUUCCAGAAGGGACAUAGUAUAAGUUUUGGGCUUUCCAUUUUAACCUUUACUGACUUCUAGGUGACAUUUCUCUAAUGCAUAAACAGUGUAGUAACAUAUUUCAAUAUUUGAACGCUGAUAGAUUAUUAAACGAAACAAAUUAAGCAUAGCAUAAGAAUUGGCUUAUCCUUCUCUCAAUUAUCUACACAAGCUUUGAUACACUGAUAUGAUUCAAUUCUUUUACUACCUGGUUUCCUCACAUGCUUAAAAUUGAAGUUUUUUAAAAUUAAACAUGGAAGUCAAAAUAGCCAAAGAUUCCAAUAGCACAAAGAAAUCUUUUAGGAAUAUAUAAAUUAAAACUCCAAUUUCAAGAAGACCCAAUAAACUAUCAAACCUGUUGAUACUUGUUUUCCAAAGAGAUGAUCUGAUCACUAAAAUCCAAUCCAGUUUCAUUUGCCAUCUUUCUAACCUGCAUGCAAGAAAACCCGAUAAAUGAAUGAAACUAAAUAACUGAUACAUACUAAAAAUUAAAUAGGUCCUGCAAGCUUUCCACAGCAUAACAAGAUGAAGCAAAAACUUACAUCAUUGAUCUUCUUCUCCAGAUCCAAAAGCGGCUUUUCAAAAUCCAAAGUAACUGGCUUUGGUUUCUCCUUCAAAGGCUUGAAAGGAGAAAGAUGAGUAAGAAUUCCUCCUUUGACAUUUGCAUCUGGAUUUUUAGGCCAUGGAUAUUCAUGCUUCCUCCCUCUCUUUUUUAACUUAGCAAUAACACUAAUAUCCCUUUUCACAGCUCCCAAACGCGCCUUUCCUAAAGACUUUAAUGGAAUACCAACGAUACCAUUACUGGAACUUCGAAGAAGAUCCGAAACUGAUGAAUUCGAAAAUGUUAGUGGAGAAUGAGGUAGUGAAGUCAUUCUGUAGCUCUCAGCAACAAAAUUGCUUCAAUUCUCAACUCAAUUAAUCUCAAAUUCGCUUCUUUUCACCAAUCAAACCUGUAAAAAACAUUCCAAAUCAAUCAAAUUAUUAGUUCAAAAUCAAUAAACUCAAUUCGAUUUUGAUUCAAAACAAGAAACUAUUGAAAUCGAAUCAGAAAACUCACGAAUUGAUAAUAAAUUAGGAAAAAUUGAUUGAGAUCUGAUCUGGCAAUGGUGAAGAAAUCGAGAGAGAGAGAGAGAAGAGAAGAAGAGGAGAUGAAAACCCUAGAAAGUAGAAGAGAAGAGAAGAGAAGAUUGUUUAUUUAGAUAGAAACAUCGAGUUGAUCGACGAAGAUGAAAGAAAAUAAAUUUUUAAUUAGGGGUUUAUGUGGAGUGUAGAGAAGUGUUCGAAAGAAAUCAAAAACAAUUUCGAUAUUUCUUAUGCAUGCAAUUCUACCUCUCUCUCUCUCUCUCUCUCUACUCUGUUUUAUUAAAUGUGGAAGAGUUUUUCGGUUUGGCCGUUGGGAGAUUUGGAGUUGUUUGUGUAAUUGUCAUCUAUUCAUUCACACAUGUGCCAGUUCACUCACACGUGUGUGUUCGAUGUGUUCGAUGGAAUCUCUCUUCAAAGGCUUCACCACUUUCUGCAACACAGUUCAGUUCCCCUAGUGAAUAGUGAUUGACUGAUUUCCAUUGUUUCCACCAGUAACAAGAUUCUUAUUGUGUUAGGCCAGGUAUGGAUCCAAGCAUCCGAGUGUUUGAGACUUGAGAGUGAGGCGGGAAGUAUACUGUAUAUAAACCUACAAUUGACUCCUUCCAAAACUAUAGCUUAAUACUAGUGAAAUAAUAGUUAUUUUCUUGACCAACAGGUGUCUGUGCAUAUGGCAAACUCACAAGUUUGUUUAAUACUACUAAUAUGGAAAAAUCGCAAGGAUAAAGUUUACUCUUAAAUGACCCCAUACAAGUUAUGGAAUCAUUGAAAGCCUUAACAAAAUAAAUCUCCUCUUGAUUAAAAUGUUACACAAGUUUAGGGGAACAUCAGACAUUAGUUUAGGUAAUAAGGGCAUCUCUAAUGGUUCAUCAAAUCUUUCAUCAAAUUCAAAUUUGAUGAAAAAGUCAAAAAAACUCCAUCUAAUGGACCAUCAAAACUUUUUCAAAUUUGAUAUUUUAGCAAAAAUCAUCAAAAGUUCAUCAAAUUUGAUGAAAUUUUGAUGAAAAACUUAAGGUUUGAUACUGGGUGAGGCGGGCAAGAGAAGACCGCUUCACUUAAAUCACUUAAAGCGGCUAAUGAAGUGCCGCUUAAAGUGGCACUUCAAAGCCCGCUUUAACUAAGUGGCACUUGGACAGCCCCAUUAACUAAGUGAAGCGGGUGUUGGAGGCCCGCUUUAGUGAAGCGGUCAUCCAUUAGCCGCUUUAACUAAGUGAAGCGGGUGUUGGAGGCCCGCUUUAGUGAAGCGGUCAUCUAUUAGCCGCUUUGUUGAUGAACCAUUAGAUGGAGCAGAUUUUCAAAGCAAAUUUUUCAUCAAAGUAGCAUCAAAUGUGUAUACGUGGACCAUCAAAUUUGAUGAACCAUUAGAGAUGCCCUAACCCCAUUAAAUAUUUUAUGUUUGUUUACACAAAAUUAUUUGAUUUUAAUGAAACAAAUUAACAUUUUUAAGGAAGUUCAUUCAUAUUAUCAUAAUACUAAUAUAUAGUGUAUGAUUGACUAAUUAGCCAUUACACACACAAAAUAAUGGUAUCCUUCAUUCCUUUGAUCAUAUUUCUAUUUCUAAAUGAUAUCCAACAGGUAUGAGCCAGAUUACACGACAAAGCCUACCGUGCAUUCUUGUUUCUUAUAAAGAUUAGGUGAGGCCGUGAGGGAAUCAGAUCAAGUGCUCAACAAACAUGGGAGCAGGUUGACUAGGUCGGGCAGAUUAAAAUUAACUUUAAAUAUGAAAACCUUGGUUGGUUAAUUGAACCAAAGUUUAUGGGUCGGAGACUGGAGAGCACUGAGCACAUUGGGACCGGAACACAUUACACAUGCAAUUGGUGACUUGGUGUACACUGUCACUGUAGUAAACUACUCCAUAUAAAAACAAUUAAAUCCCAAAUUUAAAUCUGAACAUCAGAUUUACUGUAAAUGGUCUGUGGUCAAAGUAUAAUUAGAUUAAUUUUUCCAUCAAGUUAGUGGAAAAAAUAAAUGAGUUAGGUUAAGGUUGAUGAAACUACCUGAUUGAACAGUGCCCACCUAAGAAUAUUGACUUGGUUAUGUUGGUUUACGAGGGGUGGCCCAAUGUGCAUCACUGUCAGUACAGUAGUACACCCAGACAGUCUUUGAUCGAAGAAACUGUUUACACACCCCAAAUAAAUUUUCAUGCAUGCAAAAGGGAGUAAAUUAGUGGUGUACCUCUAUAACCAUGAAUUAGGAUAAAUAAUUUAUUUAUUUUAAAUCUAAUUCCCUUCCAAUAUACGUUACUAGUAUCUCUCAUGUAGUCAUGUUGUGGCAUUCCACGGUGUUCUUAAAGCAGAUAACAGUAAAGACUAAAGAAGAUGUUGAAAGCCCUUAUCCAUUUCUGCUAUCUCCUAAGUCCCAUCUCCAUUGAGUCGAAAAAGUGGACCUAACAAAAAGCUAGGUCAUGAAUGUAACAUCCGAAUCCAAUAAACAUAUAUAUAUUUUUUUUAAUUAAAUCAAAUUAUAUUGAUAAGCUCAACGAAUUACACAAAAGUAGAUGACAAACGCGCUACAAACUGCGCGACAAGUCCUUUCUGGAUAGCAAACCUGACUCUUCUAAAUACAUAUUUUUUUUUUUUUUUUUUUUUUAUGAUGGAGACAUAGAGGUCUAUUGUUGUCUUAUUAUUUUGUGCUUUGAUUAUUAACGUUUUAUCUGUUUUGAGAACAAAUUUAAGGGCAACACCUGACAAAGAUUAAAACCGAUAAUAUACAGGAUUGUGAUUUUUCAGAGGUAGAUCAAACGGUGGUGUAAUCCAUCUCAACUUUCUCUCCAUGGAACUAGAGUACUAGAUAUGUUUACAAACUUAAUUUAUCCUAAAACAUCUAUAGUAUACAGAUUAAUUUUCUGUUCGAUAUACGUAUACAGGAACUGAGCAUCCACUGCAAGUCAUUAUCAAGAGGGAAAGAAACAGAAUAAAAAACAUUCUCAAGUUGUGUAUGGAAUAGGUCCACUGAAAGGUAAAUUUGGGCUUUUAUAUUCCCAGUAAAUCUGAACUGUAUAAGUUUUCUGAAGCCUUAUUUGCAGGCCCACUUUCGGUCCCCACUGUGAAUCUGCGAUUUCAUUUAACUUGGUCGUGGUUAUUUUCGACUCUGUUUUCCCUCUAAUCGAGAAAAAAAAAAAAACCCCGAGAGAAAUGGCGAACAAGGUCUCUAAUUUCACCGAUUUGAUUCAACGAGUCACCGCUUCUUGCUUACUUAACCCACUAGUCCGAAUUGACGAACUUGAUAAUCAGUCAGUUGAAUACUUAAAAAGCGAAAAAGAUUAUGAAAGCCAAGUAUUAGAAGAAGAAGAAGAAGAAUCAGAGUUGGAAGAAGAAGAAGAAGAAAAAGGGUUUGAAAUUUUAAAAAGAAAGAAAGAUUUGAAGAAAAUGAUGGAAUCUGAAGCUUUAAUGUCAGAAAUGUUUGAUGCAGUUUCGGAUUUGAAGAAGGCGUAUGUUAGCUUACAAGAGGCACAUUCUCCAUGGGAUCCAGUGAAGAUGAGUGUAGCUGACGUGGCAGUAGUGAAAGAGUUGAAGAGGAUUGGGAGAUUAAAAGAGAGGUUUAGAAGAAUGAGUAGAUCAGGAGGAGAGAGAAUGGGAUUUGCAGGGUUGAGAGAAGCGGUGGCGCCGUACGAAGAGACGGUGGAGGAGCUUAAGAGAGAGGUUAAAGCAAAGGAGGCGGAAGUGGAGAACCUUAAGGAGAAGCUCCGAAGUAUGAGUGUGAGUGGGAAGAAGGGGAAGCUUCAGCCAAAGAGGAAAGUCAACGGAAGUCAAGGUCAUGGUAAGGCACUUUCUUAAUUCUUUCUCUUGUGAAACUUGAAAUGGUAUGAAUAGACAUGUUGUGAAUAACCAAGGAGAAUUUUUACUAUGGAAGUGAAAUACAAAUUUUGGCUGUUAGAGUAUUAGGGUACUAAUUGAAUUUUAAAUCUGUAAUCUGUCCUUUUGUGAGUUGUUGCCUGCUUAGCUUUGGUUGAACUAAUAAAUAUCAAAAUAAGAAUUAGGAAAUUAUGCCCUUCAACCAUUGAAGUUGGAGUAUAUAAAUUCUAUGGUAGGUGCAAAAAGACUGUAACAUGGAAGAUGAUUGAUUGAGUUGCCUUUAGUUGGUAACAUUAUUGUAUGUUGUUAUGUGUAAAUUUCCUUUGAAAUAAAUCAUUGAAGAAGAUUUAUGGUGCAUUUAUUCAACUACUUCAGAGGAUUGUCAUUUAUAUAUCUAUACAGACAACUUCUAACUACGUUCAAUCUGUACAACAAUUUGCCACGAACUUCCAAGUUCCAAGUUUUUUGGAACCAAACUUGGAACUUGGCUCCAAAUAUUUUUAUUUUACUUGUAAGGCUAGGAAAAUACACCUCAUUUUUGUUGGUGAUCAGAUUUUUUAUUUUACACACCUCAUGGUCUACACAGGGCACCUUAUGUGUUAUAGUCUUGAAAUAUUUUGGAAAAACCUACAGAAUAUUUUUAUCCAGCCCACUAAAGGUGACUUAUAUUUUGUUGGAAAUACAGUUCCAGUGGCUGCGGUACCAGAGUUGUUUGAAGCAACAAUGAGCCAAGUAAAAGAAACUUCAAAGUCCUUCACAUCAUUACUCCUUUCACGAAUGCGUUCGGCUCACUGGGAUAUCGCUGCAGCUGUUCGAUCCAUUGAAUCUGCAACAAACACCCCCAAUGAUCAUGAAAACACUACCUCAGCCAUUGGAUCUCAUCACGCCAAGUACGCUCUUGAAUCCUACAUUUCCCGCAAAUUCUUCCAUUCAUUUGAUCACGAGACCUUUUACAUGGAUGGAAGUCUUUCAUCGCUUCUUAACCCAGACCAGUUCCGUCGAGACUGUUUCACGCAAUUCCGAGAUAUGAACUCAAUGGACCCAACUGAGUUACUCGGUAUCAUGCCCACUUGUCAAUUCGGCCAAUUUUGUUCUAAAAGGUAUCUGUCCAUUAUGCACCCAAAAAUGGAAGAAUCUUUAUUUGGUGAUCUGGAGCAGAAUCGACUAGUUUCAGCUGGAAAUCAUCCCAGGAGCGAGUUUUAUGGACACUUUUUGAAGGUGGCAAAAGCUAUAUGGUUACUUCACUUGCUUGCUUUCUCACUUGAUCCAUCCCCGUCUAUGUUUAUGGCAACGAAAGGAGCCGAAUUUCAAACAGAGUACAUGGAGAGUGUUGUCAGACUUUCUGGGAGAGGAUUGCCAGUGGGUCAAAUAGUUGGGAUUCCUGUAAGUCCUGGUUUCAAGCUUGGAAAUGGAUCAUUUAUUAAGGCCAGAGUUUAUUUGGUCCCCAGAAAAUGAACCUUUUGUUGGUUUCAUUGUAUUAUGUGUACUUUUUGUACCAGAUGCUUAGUGUGAAUCUAAUCUAUGCAUUGUGCAUUUUUUGUCUUUGGUGGUACAUGAAAAUUUAGAUUCAAAUCCACCUGUGUGUGUGCUGUGUGUAGAUUUUUUUUUUUUUUUGUUGGCAGGGGAGGUUGUGGGGACCUACCCCUUUUAAAUUACGUGUGGAAACUUAUAUCAACAAUCCGCUGUUGACGUGUUUCGAAUCCAAGAUCUUUCCACUUUAUGAGAGGGGUGCUACCAUUGAGCCACAGGCUCAUUUACAAAAAAUUACAAUGUUGUCGAUACACUGAUGAAUGAUUGACUAAAAUGUGCGCAUGCCUUGAUCUGGCUUGUGUAUUGUGUGAUCUUAAGAUUGAGUUUCGAUAAUGCCUUUUUUUUUAAUUGAAAUACAGUGGUUGAACUCUAAAAUGCGUGUUUCAGUGGGGUGCAAAUAUGCAGUGCAACUCAUCUGUGAGUUCUGACAUUGGAGCCAGAAUCAAUUUUUGUGGGCAUUAGCUUUAAUUGGGCCGGUCCAUUAAGAAAAGACUGGCCCAUUAAAUGUAGCCAACAUUUUCCGAACCAAAUUGCUGCAGAAACAGUGAAACACUCUCGUCUUGCCGUUUCAAUCAUACUUUCUUCUCUCUCUAUCUGGUAGUCGUUUGCAUUGUUAUGGCUUGCAGGACUUCUAACGGUACUCUCUCUCUCUCUCUCUCUCUCUCUCUCUCUCUCUCUCUCUCUCUCUCUCUCUCUCUCUCUCUCUCUCUCUCUCUCUCUCUUAAUUUAAAUUUAAAAUUAUCUUUUUCUUCUUACAGAUACUCUACUGCUAAAGCUAAAAGAGGGAAGUGCAGAAUUCGAACUCGUUUCUUCGCCAGUAUCUCCAAUUGCCACUUCAAAGUCUCAUUGGUUUUCUUUUCCCUUUCAAGCUGAUAAAAGUCAUCGAUUUUUUGCUAGAAUUGGUCCUUCUCUGUAAGUUUUUUUUGUUUUAAUUGAAUCUAAACCUUAAUUAAACCCUAUGGGGGAGAAACCCAUUAAGUAAACUCUUGUUGCUUGAAGGGAUGGUGGGGCUUCACCAGCAUUGAAGAAAGUUGAACAAUACUCAGUUCAGAAAGUUACUGGAGAUGGUCGUUGCAUGUUUCGUGCACUGGUAAUACUUUUCACAAAUUGCAAAGCUUUUUAGCGUAUUGGCAUUUCAUCAAACAGUUCCAAUUUCAGUAGAGUUUUCUUGUCUUUAGAAUUUAAAUUGAUCUUUGAAAUGGUAUGUUAGGUAAAAGGAAUGGCUAUGAACAAGGGUAUCUCUCUCAGCUCCCGCGAAGAAAGAGAUGAUGCGGGUAACUUCACAUUAUUAGCUAGCUCAUUUGGUUGUUUGAUUUAACAAUGAAGGAUUAUAUGUAGAAAACAUUAUGCUUUAGUUGACGAGACCGCCAAUGGCAGAGCCAGACAUUGAGGUCCGAAAUACUUUAUGUGUAUCCAAUAAAAAUUUAGAUUCUUUUUAUAGUGUAUAGACCCAUUGGUAUAAAGGCUGAAGCUGACUUAAAAUCAUUAAACCAUAGUUUACCAGUAUAAGUUGAAAUUCUGUUCAUUAAGAUUCGAUGUCAUUCCAGAUUAAUUUUAUACAAUUUUGUGUCUUAUUUCCAAUGGAUUUGUUACAAUCACAAUUUGGAGAAAUUGUCCGAAGUUGAUAUAUUCGAUUCUGUUUUCAUGUUUUUGGCAAAAGAUAAGGCUAGCCUCGGGGCUUUUGUCUUCCCUGAUUACUAUGUCAUAUUUGAUCAAUUUGUGCCUGCCCUCCAUAAAAGUGAGCCGGCAUACGAGACUGUAAUAUGUCGUUACUGAUCAAUUUGUGCCUGCCCUCCAUAAAAAUGAACCAGCAUACGAGACUGUAAUAUGACUCUAAUUAUGCAUUUAUGCUUUAUAUUCAGUUCAGUUAAUAUAUAACUAUGUAAUCCAUCCGCAGUCCAUCUGUCUUAUUGUUUAAUAUCUUGUAUUUGAUAUAUGUGAUGUGUUUUGAUAUCAAUGUGCCAAUUGUGCAUCUGAAGCUCUGGAAGACUGGCGUUAUAACUUAUAAGUUAUAAGCUAUAACUACAUAUAAAGAAACUUGUUGUAGUUAGUGUUCAGACUUCAGACUAUAUAAAGAAACUUAUCCUUGAUUUUAACUAACACAGAUGAACUGCGGAUGGCUGUAAAAGAAAUUAUAUGUGAAGGUGAUAAAGAACGGAGCAAGUAUGAAGAAGCUUUGGUGGCAAUUACUGUUGAUGAAUCCUUGCAACGGUAUUUCUACAAAUCAAAUUUCCUGUUGUAGCUGCAUUUUAUUAUAUGCCAUCAAUUGAAGAUGUCACUUGAACUGACAUGAAUACAUGCCAUUUCUAGAUACUGCCAACGUAUUGACAGAUCUGAUUUCUGGGGAGGAGAAUCGGAGUUAUUGGUCAGUUUUCCAUAGAUUUGUGAUUGAGUUCUUUCCAAUUCUCUUAUCUACAGCGUCUCUAUUAAUUUCUACUUUGUACAGCUUCUGGACUUGAGGCAUGUUUUUGUUGUAAAUUACAGGGCAAUAAAUGCUGCCACAUUACUAAAAAUUUGCAGUAGUGUCGGCAUCUGUUGAAUUGAGUACAUUGAUUAACUGUUUUUAACUUCAUAUUAAUGACCAAUUCUUCUUCCUCAGGUGUUGUCAAAGUUGUGUCGUCAGCCAGUUAUUGUGUACAUACCAGAGCGAGAGGUACUACUUUUCAGUUUUCACAAACAUUUAAAUACUUCCAUGAAAACAUGAGAAGGGUGUUUUGAGAUUACCAAACUAUUUCCUCAUACAUCUAAAUAAUUGCAUAAGUUUUGCACACACUUCAGUACUUCACUGUUUCCCUUCUACUUUUCCUCAUAUUUGUAGCAUCUAUUGUUAAAAAGUAUUGUUCUUUGGAGAGAGGCUAGGCAUCUCGUUAAGCUGUGUUGCUGGUGUUGUCAAUGUUUGAGGCUAAAAUCAAAGAUGUCUUGAAAGAGAUGUAUGAAUGACUGGAUAGUAUCAUGGUAUUGCCUAAACUUGUCUCUUAUUAGUGAAGAAAAGAGAACAAACAAUAAGCUAGAGUCCAUCUUUGAUUUCAGCCUAACAGCCUCAGGAUGCAUGUAUUAUUGCAGAAGGAUGACCUCAGAGAUAACUGUCUGUUUAUAUGUACUAUGAUAAUGUCUACUCAGAAAUAUAAGAUGUUUUCUUGAAAGAUCUACAUCUACUGAUGAUCCCACCAUUCCAAUUGCAGCACAAGGGGGGAAGGGGCACAGGCUUUAUUCCCAUCGCAGAAUAUGGGACCGAAUUCAGUAAAGCAGCCAAAAAGAGUAAACCACCAAGGAAGGCAGUGAGGCUUUUGUAUAGUGGCAAGAACCACUACGAUAUACUUGUUUGACGCUAACACAAGUCAUUGUAACAAAUAUUGAUUUUGACAUGUAAUAGUUGAUACAAUCCAUACCAUCUUAUGACUCUUCAGUAUAUGCCCAAAUGUUGUCUCUUUUUUGCUAGAACUUUAUUUAUGCUGAAGCAGCAUGUUUAUAUCAUCUCCCAGAAGCCCAGAAUAAUUACUUGUUGCAUGUCUGUCACAAUAUACACUUGUCUGUGCACAAAUUACUGCAGAUUUUGUUGUUUGUCCACAAUACAUGCAUCUGAACUUCUUCACUCUUGAAGUGUCCCAUAGACAAUCAAUUCCAGAUUGGCUUCAGAUUAACAUGCAAUUUCUUCUUUAAGAGAUAAAUGUUGUAAAUGCGAAUUGCCAAUUUGCCAUUGGAAUGGCAAAAUGGACCAAAUGACAGGAUUUGCCUGAGCUCAAAAGUGUCAAACUACUCAAAUGAACUACAUACAGUACCCAUAAAAGACCCGACAAUGGUUUUACACGUGGCAUAAUGGUCUCACACGUGCUAUCCAGUCAUACCCACGUGGGAUAAGAAAACAAAAGAAGUGUUUUACCACGUCAUCGAAUAUUGACACAAAAAACUAUAAAGGUAAGUGUCAAUGACGUGUCAGUUUCUGAGUACUUCCCAUAGUGCUCGGAAGUUGUAUCAUCGUAAAAAGGAAAAAACCUUCUUCUCACCGUAUUCUGAAAGAACAGAAAUUUGGGUGAAAUAUAAAACCGAUAAAUAAGAGAAUUUUAUUUUCUAGGGUUUCGAAUUUCGAUAGUUUUUUCUUCUGGUUUUUAUUUGAAAUAGAGAAAGAAAGAGAGAAAUUGAAUUUUGCAAUCGGCGUAGAUAGAGAUGGAAGGUCCAAGUAAUGGUGGAAUGUUAUAUCACGAGGUACAAGAGUCAAAACUAUGUGCGGUACAUUGUGUGAACACAGUAUUACAAGGUCCUUUCUUUUCUGAAUUUGAUUUAGCGGCUUUAGCUUCUGAUCUUGAUCGAAAAGAACGUCAAAUGAUGCUUGAAAGUGGUGGUGGUGAUGUUGUUGAUUCUGGUGAUUUCCAUCUUAUGGAUACUGAUGAAUCUCAUAAUGUUUCUAUGGGUGGAGAUUUUAGUAUCCAGGUUUGUUUUCUUUACAACAACUUUUCUUUGGAUCGCAGUGUAAUUUUACUUCUAAAAGAUGUGAAUUUGUUGUUUUUGCUUUUCGUUUUAUCAAAUUGGGAUUAGUGAUUGAAUAAUUAGAACUUGGACCUUGUGAAAGUGAGGUGUUUGUGAGAGAAAAUUUGUUAAAUUUCAGGCUUAAGGAUAUAAGUUUUAAGUAAAGUUUGUGUCUUUCUGAACUUUGGAUUGAGUAAGUUCACUAUUCUUAAGCUUGUGCAAUACACAUAAUAAAUUAAUAACCCUGCUCAGAAAAUUUUAAUAUGUAGUGUGAAUUAGGCAGCUACUUUUACACAAAAAUUACUAUAUCAUUGAAUGUCCUGUGACUUGUAAGAAAGAAUGUGAAUUAGGUUGUUACAUAGGCAGGUAUAGUGGCUUGAAUGGAUGCCUUUCACCGUGAAUAGGGGGUGGACUGGUGGAGUCCUUACUUAGAUAUUCAAUUUGAAGAAAAAAAAGGAAUUCUCUUUGACAUGCUUCUGUAUAAUUCCGACAAGUAGAACAUGAUUUCUAUUGCAGUUAUGCACCAUCUUGAAAAGCUAUAUGUUUUAAUUUAGAUGUUCUCAGCUAUAUUUAAGUCCUCAAACCAGAAAGUGAGAAAACUAUUGCAGUUAGUGACUCUAUUACCUAAUUCUCAGCAGCAAUCAAAUUACCCUGAAAGAAAAAUUAAUUAUACGAUUUGUUGUUUAAGCCAGUUAAGAGACUCAGAAAUUAUUCUUUAUAAAUAUCAAAAUCAAUGCAAUUAUGGUAAGAUUAUGUUGUUGUAUAUGUUGUUCCUAUGACAUACACAUCACUGCUAAAAUAAUGAGACAUACUUCUGGGGCCUUGAGCUGUAGAUUGUGCCAUUGUGGAACCAAUCCUGUUUAUAAUAACAUAAGAAAAUGUUUCCAAUAGAUUGUGCCAUUGUUCAUUCUUUAAGUUAAUGAAAAGAUGGUUUUAGUAUGAAGUUCUUGCCGAAUUCCUUUUGGAUAUAGCCAUCCAAUUGUGUCAUCUGAUCCUUAUCUGUUGUAUAUAUGAUUUGUUUGGCUAAUACUUGGACAGCUCUCCAUUAUCUGGCACUAUAGUAUCCAUUAUCUGUCUCUUAAGUUGGAUUUUUAUCGUUUUUAUGUACAAAUUGAUUAAGGUGUGAAUCCUAUAGGUUAGAAGAUUGAUGAAAGUUUGACUAUAUUUUGUUUUCAAGAGACUACAUAUUAAAUGUCAUUUGCAUAAGUGUUGGUCGAAUCAUGCAACUUGUUGUAGCAGCACAGUAGGCUAACGGAUCAUAUUAGAAAAUGGAAAGAUUUGUACCUGUGGAAGCCUUAAGUUUCUGUGAUCUCAUCAGUCUAGUAGUAGGAGUGUUAAAAGUACGGAUAAAGAUGUGAAAUUCAUAACUUUUGUUUGUUUUGAACUCUCCUCCGAAGAGCCGGCCAAUUUUUAAGGAGCCAUCUCAUGAGGACGAUAAAUAUGGAUGACAAAUAUGAGCAUCAUAAGAUAUGUGUCUUGAAGCUUCUUUGUACUAGUUGGGUGAUUUUAUGUUAGCUGGAAUAUGAUGAUUUUAUCUUCUUGAAUGGUGCACACCCAUUUAUGACAUGCUUUGGAUGGGUAGAUGAGAUUUCCAUAUUUUGCAGAAUAUCUCAUGGAUGUUCAGUUUGUGUUUGUUAAUAAUAGAAGUAUAAAAUAGUUGUUAACAUCUUUAAAGAGGAGUAAUAAUUGUGAUUUAUGUUUUUUGGUAAUAUAAGUGUUUUAUUAGAUAAGUGAACAUCAGUGUUAGUACGUUAUAUGUCAAAAAGCUGUUUUUUCAGACACGUGGUGUAUAGUAAACUAUGCCUGUGUCUGGGUUUGUUAUAAGUGUAUUUAACUAAUUGACUUGGUUUUCUAGGUAAAAAGGAAGGGAGAAAUGCUAAGAUUAUUGUUGAAAGAGCCAAUAUCUUUUUCAUUAUUUGGGCUAUCUCUAACUUUAUAGAAUGUGUCUUUGCAUGUGCAGGUCUUAGAGAAGGCUUUGGAGGUAUGGGAUUUGCAAGUUAUUCCCGUUAACAGUCCGGUUGCAGAACCUGCGCAGAUCGACCCUGAGCUAGAAAAUGCAUUCAUCUGUCAUCUGCAGGAUCACUGGUUCUCCAUCAGAAAAGUAAAUGGGGAGUGGUAUAAUUUUGACAGUCUCUAUGCUGCUCCUGAGCAUCUCUCUAAGUUCUAUCUCUCAGCAUACCUCGACAGUCUUAAAGGCUUUGGUUGGAGCAUUUUUCUCGUCAGAGGGAACUUUCCCAAAGAGUGCCCAAUGUCAUCUGCAGAAUCUUCGAAUGGUUAUGGGCAGUGGCUCUUACCUGAAGAUGCGCAGAGAAUUACCAAAUCUUGCAACUCCACUCAAUCCAAUCCUCCACGACGUAAUAUCUCUCAGUCAAACUCCAAUCCGUACCAACCUUUUACAGAAGAGAGUUUUUCAGACUUGGAAGAAGAUGAUUUGAAGGCUGCAAUCGCUGCCAGUUUAAUGGAUUCUGUUCCUGCUAGUAGUAGAUCUGGCAUUACAUCUGCUCCUGUUGCUGCUGAAACUGAAAUAAUUUCUUGCCCUGCUCCCGCUGAAACUGGCAUUUCUGAAGAUAAAAAAGAUGCAUAAAACUGCCAUACAGAAGAGGAGGAAGAUCAUGCUUAUGGUGGUCUGGGUUGUGCUCUGUCUCUUAACAUUUUUAAGUUAUGUGGUUUAGUUUUUGGUUUUGUUUACCCGUCCUGUACUGUCACUUCCAUUUUGGUUCCUCUCUGUUCAUCCUAGUUUUACUAUGAAGGCUUUACAUGGGAUAACUGCUACAUUGCUUAAAGAUUAAAUGAAAAGCAUACAAAGUUGGAAAUGAUUAUGAUACAUUUGUGAAUGUGGAGUUGUAGCAUUUGAUUGAGUUGUUAAUGCUUGUAGUAGGUCUUGACUCUAGAUCUGAUUGGCAUUGGCAGUACUGACUGUUUUUUUUUUUUUUUUGUGUGCAACUAUUGUAAAUGCGCCUAUGUCUGCCCCAGAGAGCAAGUGUUUUGGGCUUUUGGAGAUGCAGUCUCUAUAAUGGCAAAAUAAUGGUUUAAUCAUCUACUGGCAUGACUAAAACUUUAUGUUUGUGCUGCUUGCUGGCAUUACUGGAUUUCCAGACUGAGCAUAGCAUGAUGCCAUGAUUAGAUAACAAAAUGAUGGUUGUGUUGAUUUCGAUAAAAAGUAGAAAAAAUAAAAAAUUGACGCACACCCGGUGGGACUCGAACCCACAAUCGCCUGAUUAGAAGUCAGACGCCUUAUCCAUUAGGCCACGGGUGCUUUUUUUACUGAUGUUUGUCACAUAAUUCUAUUAAUCCAAUAAACAUUGCGAUCCUAUUGACUUCAGCAAUAACCGUAACAUCCAGGUGACAGUCACUUUCGCUUUAUUCGAUUGUCUUCCUUGCUCAUUGCUGCAACAUGUUCAUUCGAGCAGGUAUCCAUACCUUAUGAUUCAUGAAGCUGACCAUGUUGCCAACUAAACUUUGGAUUACUAAAUCUUGACAUCCUACACGCUACACCCCCAUUUCUUAUUGAAUUAAAAUUAGUAAAGCUUUAGUUUGAUUGUAUCACUGAAUAUCAAAUUAACAUUCCAUGAUACACAAUCUACUGUAAAGAAAGAAAUCAUACUCCUUUUCCACAAAUUUUCUCUUACAAACGGAUAAACAAUCUAUUUGUGAAGAUAAAAGGCCAAACCACCAAGAUUUACAAGAUUUUUGGGGCCAUAUAUGGCUAUAACUUAAGCACCCUUGAAAUCCGUUUAUUACUCCAUUUGGAACAUGAUGGCCAGUUGGCCACACAUUGACCUAUUUCGGACGACCAGUAAGCCUGCACCAGCGCACCUGGUACGUCUGGGGAAGGAAUUAGGAAAUGGCAGCUUUGGUUUUCGGCUUUCAUCUGAUGGACGUGGUCUUUUCCAUACCCCAGGCGAUAAAGGGUUGCUGAUGUUCUGCCAGUAUAGCAUAGAUCAGUGCACUGUUAAAAGGAUCAUUGAUGUUUUAGUUUAUUGUACUUGCGGGAGGGGAUUAUGGCUGGAAUGCUGGAUUGUACUAAAGGACCCUUAUGGGAAUUGCGUGCCUUGUUUUCAAAUUUAUAUAUGUUACAAGCUGAGGAACCCGCGCUACGCACCGGGGUAUGAGAAUAAGUUUUAUUAGACAAUCCGUAUUACUUAUGUUUGAUUAAUAUAUGUUUUGGCUAUUUUUUGUGUUUUGAUUUUGAUGAUUUGAGAGGUUUGUGCUUAAUGGGAGAGUGGAUAAAAAGUCUAGAGAUUUUUGGUUUAAUGAAAAAUGGAGAAAAAGAGAAAAACAAAAAAUAGUUAUAGAACUAUUAAAAUAACUAAUUAUAUUUUUAUUUUUAUUUUUAAAAAAUGAGAAAAUUUGUGAGAGCUUGAAAAUCAUUUAGGAUGCCACUUAGGAGAGAGAAUGCGGGACCGCAUGGGUCUAGCUAUUAUAUAGAUACUAGCUGUGGACCCCGUGCUAUGCACCGGGAUUAGAGAUUUUGUAAGAGAAAUUUUCUAUAAAUUUUAAACUUAUAUAAUUUUUAAUUAUCUGUAUUAAUUUUUUUUAUUUAUAUGUACAUAUAAUAAAUUAUUAUGUUUGGUUAUAUUUGAUUAUUAAUUUGUGUUUUGAGUAUAUUUGUUGUUUUUAUUUUAUUUUGAUUGAAAUGUUUGUGUUUAUACUUUAUUAGGAGAGUGGAGAAAGUGGGUAGAGAUUUUUUUUGGUUUAGUGAAAAAUAGGGAAAAGUGUAGAGAAAUACAAAAUUUAGUUAUAAAACCAAUUAAUAUAAUUUUUUUUUAAUUUAUUUUAUAGAAGAAAAUAUGUGAGAGCUUGAUGAUCAUAUAGAGUGCCACAUAAGAGAGAGAGUGUGGGAUCCAUUGGGUCUAGCUAUGAUAUAGAUACUAGCUGUGGACCCAAAGCUACGCAUCGGGAUUGGAGAUUUUUCAAGAGAAAUCUCGUAUAAAUUUUAAAUUUAUAUAAUAUUAAAUUUAUCUGUACUAAUUUUUUUUUAUUUAUAUAUACAUAUAAUAAAUUAUUAUAUUUGGUUAUAUUUGAUUAAUUUACGUUUUGAGUAUAUUUGUUGUUUUGAUUUUAUUUUUAUUGAAAUAUUUGUGUUUAUAAUUUAUUAGGAGAGUAGAGAAAGUGGAUAGAGAUUUUUUGGGUUUAGUGGAAAAUGGGGAAAAAUAUAGAGAAAUACAAAAUUUAGUUAUGAAACUAAUUAAUAUAAAUUGUUUUUUUUCUUUUUUAUUUGUUUUAUGAGAGAAAAUUUGUGAGAGCAUGAUGAUCAUAUAGAGUGCCACAUAAAAAAGAGAGUGUGGGACCCAUUGGGUCUAGCUAUUAUAUAGAUAUAUAGACUAGUUGUGGACCCGUGCUACGCACCGGGGUAGGAGAUUUUUGCUUGUUACAACUACUAAAUGCAAUAGUGUAUUUAUCAAUAUCAAUAGUAUUUAAAAUGAAAAAUUUGAAAUUAUGUAAUGAAUUACUUUUGAAUCCAUAAGCCUCUUAUUAGGAAAGUAUACCCAGAUUUGAAAACAAUUAAUGUGUUCUAAAUAAGCUUUUACAUUGAACACCAAGCCAAGAGGGAGUUUUUUUUUUAUUAAAAUAUACCCAAACUAAGUUACGUACAUGUGCGCGAACACAGAUAAAGCUAUACUAUCAGCAUACAAAAUAGUAGAUAAACUCCAUCCAAGGGAUAGGUCAUAGGGACUGUGAGCUUUUGAAGUUCUUGUGGAUGAUCUGGUUUAUGCAAAUGAACCAUGGUACCCUGUUGUAGACCCCAAGCCAGGAGAGAGUUACUAAUAUUAUUUGACACUAAGAAUUGAUUUGCAUAAUGUCAGAUCUAUAUACUGUAUCAUAGCUAUUAAAGGGUUUGGCGGACCCUAACUUGUAUUCAUAUAAUCGAUAAUCAAUCGUUCCCUUGCAUACAUUGUCCCAAUUUUAUCCUCGUGUAGUAUAAAACAUAUAUAAUAUGUUCAACCUGUCUGCUACUCUGCUGCCUUGUUUGUUUCUCUAUAAACAUGUGCAAAACUCAUAUCUUCAAACUUAGCUGUUCACAGUCUAAUAUAGCCUUGAUUAUAUUCAUAAAGUACCAUGCAUGGUGGUCCUUCCAAACCGUUUAUUACAUUGAUAGCUCUUAGAUGCGUCAUGGCCAGUCAAGGUUUUUGUCUAGCAUUGGAUUGGAGGCAACACCAUGUACCGAGAGCACUAUUUCCAGCAAUUGGUUUGCAAUUGGAACACCUGCUCACGCCUUAGAAGCAAAGGAGCUGCCAACUCUUAGAAUUAGUAGUAUAUAAGGUUACUUUUUAUAUACUUGGUCUGUGAAACAUCUUUCACAACCCCAUCAACCUUUGAUAUUUACUAAUGAAAGUGCUACUAAUGGUAUCGAGGAAAAAAACAUUGAUAUCUCUUAGAGUCUGAGACAACCUCUAGUUUUUUAAUUUGCAUACAUCCAUUCUUUUAUCAAUGGUGGUUAUUUCUUGCAUCAAAAUAUUAUCACCAUAUCCCCAUCUAUUUUCUGCAACAGAGCCGUAACAAUUCAGUUUUACAUAUCCUUUGAAGGUUUCUUCCAUAUGCAUUGUUUGACCUCCUCCUUUAUUAUUUUGGUAUCAAUAUCAAGCCUAUGUAAAAGUACACGCAUUUGUACAGUGCCUUUCACUUCUGACAGCCUGGUCUGUAAGUAGAGUUUCAUCUCCUCCUUUAUUGGUGCCCUUGAGUUGUUGAAGUUUCUGGCGUUUCUCUCCUUUCACAGUUCCACACAUGGUAGAUAGUUGCACAAAUAUAAGCUUUCUGAAUUUCUGUUAUAUCAUUAUUAGAACUGUAACUUCUGAAUACUCUCCUUCAUUCAAUAUUAACAUCAGGUGCCACAUUUGUAGACUAAAUCAACUCUUGAUCUCUUUCCAUAUCUGGAUUGUAUAGUUGCACGUACGUGUAGAAUAAAUGCUUUGAGUUCUCCCUUGCUCCUCUACAAAAGAUACAUUCUCAAUGAUGGAGAAUCUUUCUUUGGAUUAAUCUAUCUUGUGUUGGAAGAUGGGCAGAUGACAGUCCCCCUGAAAAUAACAUCCGCCCGAGCUGUAAAGAGUAACAAAGUGAUGUUGAACAAUGUAGUUUUGCAUUAUAUAGUAUGGCCCUUUAUCCUGAGAUAUUUCCUAGUGUGCCAUAACAGUAACUCAGUUUGUAGUGCAGUUCAAGAAAUGGUUCAAAUACAAACCUUUAAUCUGAGAUAUUUUCUAGUGUUUCUUCAUACUUGAGCAUUUUGAUGCUAACCAAGACAAUUAUGAUAAUUGUAUUAACAUCUAAAAUCUAAAUGUCGAGUUUCUGAUGGUAACAUUGUAAUUCUGCUACAAUAAGCUAACCAAGUAAACGCAAAAAACAGAUACCAGUACACAAAAGAAAUUAGAUGAACACCUGGAAUCCAAAUAUGGUAUAAAAAAUUUUACACACAAAAUAUACAUUUACUAAUAACUCACACCUACAUGUGAUUGUUGUAGAUGAGAGAAGUGUGAAACCUCUUGAUGCAUACAACAUUGAAAAUUCUGGGAGGCGUAUAUCGUGACAUAUUCCUAUACCUAUACGAUUAACAUCUGUAAUAUACUUUCACGUAUCAAAUUUUGAAAGCACCAUUUUCUUUGUAUCAAUAAACUAACCAUAUGACUGCAUGUUAUUCAGGCUUAAAAAUAUCAUUGGAAUUGGCAAAGUAAACAAAAAAUGCAAAUUCAUCUUCAACUUGGCUAAUGUUAUCACUGUUUCAGGUUUAUGUAUCUUAUUGAAGAAUGAAGUCCAGCAUAUAUCUGAGAAAUAAAUGUCUUAUUGAUCAGAUCUUUCUGUUUGUUUUCCAUGUAUCCCACUGGAACAUACAACAUUUGAUAUAAAAAAAUGAGACGUUAACAAUGCCAACUCUAUUAGAAGUGAAACACUUUUUCAUUUGUGUUGUUUAUGCGUUGAUGUAAUUUGAUUACAUUCUAAUUAAAAUUUUGCUUAUAAAAAAAAAACCCUCUAUUAAAUUAGAAGUCACACGCGAUAAUACUUUUUCCACCACUCAAGUCACAAAAUAAACAUGUUAAAAGUAAAUACCUCUAUCAACAACUGUAGGUUUAUCAUCAGCAGUGUAGGCGUCAGAUUCCAUCAAAAAGAAUUCUCCGAGCAUGUUAAUGUCAAAUAGAUAUACCUGUGAAUCAUCAAAACGACUCGUAUAAGUAGCAAGAAACCAACAUAUUACAUCACUGAUUAAUUUAAAGCACCUAGGUGCUUCAGCUUUUCAUGGGAUGAUCAUGAAAACACCGAGUGAUAGAGCAUUUGGGGAGGCAUUGACAUUCGACUCAAUUACCUUCCUAUGCUUUAGCAAUUAGUUUUCCAUCUACUCGCUCCAAAUACACAAUUGGUAUUAUACAACCUCCCACUACAAUGUUCUGGCACAGCUCCACCAACUAUAGUAAUGCCUUAACUCCGGGCAACUUCUGAUAGCAUCAUGAAUGAUGAGGAAAAAAAAUCAAAUAAACAACUUAAGCUUAAUAUUAAGACAUUAAGUUACCAAUCUAAUCUAAGUUAAUAUGAUCAAUAAAUGUAAAAGUAGUAACAAUCAUAUUCAUGAUCAGAUUAUGAGAGUUGUGAAUGGAGGAUACCAUAUAUACACAAUUUGGCAUUGUGCCAAUACCAUGGAUUGUAUAUACUUUAUAGGAUAUAGCCUCAUGUUUAGGUCCGGGCAACUUCUGAUAGCAUCAUGAAUGAUGAGGAAAAAAAAAUCAAAUAAACAACUUAAGCUUAAUAUUAAGACAUUAAGUUACCAAUCUAAUCUAAGUUAAUAUGAUCAAUAAAUGUAAAAGUAGUAACAGUCAUAUUCAUGAUCAGAUUAUGAGAGUUGUGAAUGGAGGAUACCAUAUAUGCACAAUUUGGCAUUGUGCCAAUACCAUGGAUUGUGUAUACUUUAUAGGAUAUAGCUCAUGUUAACUACUGGUUGUAAAAUCCUCAAACCUCCAUCAACAAAUACCAAGAUUUUAUUUGAUGAGAUCCAUACCAAAAACAAUACCAUACAUUGCGUAUUGAUGGUGUCUCAACAAUAGCCUCUUUCAUGUGAGACAAUAAAGCUUAAAACCCUAGGAAUUUUUUUUGAAUUGAGAUGGAAAAAUAUUUAGAAGCCAAUUGAAACCGUUAAGUAUAAGUAGAAUAGAGUAUCUCUAGAGAAUUCAAAGUUUCUAAGGCAAGUUCACAAUUUAGAAAGAGAAAAAUACCAUUCACAGAUUACAAAGUGAAGAAAAAACUUGUUAAGCGGAUAACAUAUCAUCAAAUCAAUACUCAAAUCCUUGGGAAUUUCUUGCUGAUGUGAAGCUACCUUUCUUAAACGCAAUGAAAUACAAUCCUGCAAACAAUGAUUAUCCCGUCAUGGCUAAUACCCUUAUAUCCAACAGUUUAAUAAAUAAGUAGUUACAAAUUGAAUAAAACUAACACUUACAGAACUGUAUUAACCAUUUUUGUGAGGUUGGUCAAUACAUUAAUGAAAGAUGAUGAUGUGUAUGAUAUGAACAAUAAUAAAGUAGAGACGUGAACACCAUUGUAUACGUGGUUCGGCAAUUGUGCCUACAUCCACGGAGAGAGAGAGAGAAUGAACUUUAUUAUAGUAGUGGUGAUACAAAAUGGGAGCUCAAUAAUGGAGAGAGCUCAAGAGAGAGAUGAGACCUGAGAGGUGAGGUCUCAUGAGAGAGUGUUGAGGUCUUGUGUAUGAUUCACAAUGAGACCAUGAGAAGAUGAGUAGUUUGCCUUUAUAUUUAUAGGCUACAAUGUAACUCCAUUCUUAGCAAUUAAUAGGGUAAUAAUGGGGAAAAUAUCUUUGUAAUAAUAAGGCUUAACUUUGUAACUUGUGCCAUCAAGAGAGAGCUCAUUAGAUGUUGACAUGUGGCACCAUGAUGGACGAUAGAGAUGGUGCCACAUGUAUGUUGUAUAUAGUACCCCUACAUAUAAUCUUGAAUACUUACAAAGUAACAAAACUAAUAUGGGAAGAACUUACUGCGAGUGUGAUAUUUGUUUUGCUGAUCUAGUGUUUGAUGUGGGUGAAAAGUAGGGUCAGAGGAGAAAGAAGAUAUGGAAGUUGAUACAAAUGGAAAAGAAACCCACCUAGUAAAUUUUUUUCCUAAUCUUCAUGGAUAAGUGGAGAGAGGUUCCAAAGUUUGAAUGCAGUUGAAAGAGUUGUGGAAAGAGUCAGAGAGGAAGAGUUUGGGAUUUUUUGGCAAGAGUUUUGUGCCACGUAAAUUCUAAUAACCAAUCAAAAAAAUCUGUUUUUUAUUUUGCAAAAUUAAAAAAAGCUGAGAAAAAUCGAGAGAGCUUUCCUCUUAACUAGACACCCACAUAAGAAAGAGAAUGUGGGACUGCAUGAGUCUAACUAUUAUAUAGAUAUAGACUAUGUGAACGGGCACGUGUAUGCGUGCAGGGAGUUAAGACGUAUAUAAGAAGAAGAAUAGGUGGGUUCAGGUGAUGGAAUCUAUUAGAACAGUUGGACCUACAAUAAUUUUUUUUUUUUUUUGGUUGAAUAAAUUGAUAAUUGUUUAAAAAUCCGGAGUUGAACGAAAACCUGCUGCAAAAUAUCUACGUGGCAGUUUCUUAUAGGAUAUAAGAUGGGCUUUACUGUAGCUAAAGGCAGGUUGCUUUACGAUUAGUAAAGAUUUGAGCCCAAUAGUUGUGUAUGUGUGUGUGUUGUGAAUUAUGUUAUGUGAUAUGUGAACUGUGAAGUACCUCUUUGUCCUCAAGUGAAAAGGAGAUGGAAACCAAAGCUUGUUGGAUGGACCACGACCAUGCGAUCUGAGCAUGAUUAAUGGCUGAGAUUCAAGUUGUGAUUCUUCUGGCAGUAGGGGAUCGUUCUCAGCUGCCUAUUAGACUAUUAGUAGUUUUUUCUCCCCCAAACGAUUCUUGGGCCUAAGACUAUGUUGAGCUUAGUGGUCGAAGUAAUUUGUGUUUUUUAGUUUGGUAAUCUAAGAGCAUUCCCAAUGGUAGGUUUUAGCACACUUUUAGUUAACUUUUAGUGAAAACACUUGCCAAUGGUAGCUUUUAACACACUUUUCAAGCAAAACACUUUUAACUCCUUGGCAAAUUUGCCAAGGAGUUAAAAGUGCCAUGUAGGAAUCCAUCCGCCACAAUUAGUGCGGUAUGGAUCUAUACCCCACAAUAAGUGCGGUAUGGAUCCAUACCCCACAAUUAGUACGGUAUGGACUCAUCUAAAAGAAGAUCCAUCCGCCACAAUGAGUGCGGUAUGGAUCCAUACCCCACAUAGAUUGCGGUUUCAAUAAUCCACCAUUGGAAACACUAAAACCCUUUUUUCACUAAAACCAUUGAAAACCCCAAAAUUCCUUAAAACCAUCCUAUGUGGCACCACUAAAAGUGUUUAGAGCAUUCCCAAUGGUAGGUUUUAAAUCACUUUUAACAACUUUUAAUAAAAAACUCUUGCCAAUAGUGGGUUUUAACGCAUUUUUCAAGCAAAACACUUUUAGAGCAUUUCCAAUGGUAGGUUUUAGCACACUUUUAGUGUAAACAGUUGCCAAUGGUAGCUUUUAACACACUUUUCAAACAAAACACUUUUAACUCCUUGGCAAAUUUGCCAAGGAGUUAAAAGUGCCACGUAGGAAUCCAUCCGCCAUAAUUAGUGUGGUAUGGAUCCAUACCCCACAAUGAGUGCGGUUUCAAUAAUCCACCAUUGGAAACACCAAAAUUCCUUAAAACCAUCUUAUGUGGCACCACUAAAAGUGUUUUACCAUUGGGAAUGCUCUCAUCUCCUUGGCAAAGAGUUAAAAGUGCCACAUAGAACCAUUUUAUUAAUUAAAAAUUAGAUUUCAUCACAAUGUACACUAUAUUUUUGGAGAAAAGUGAAACCUUAAAUUUUAACACUAUGUUAAAACCUUUUCUCUCUCUUAUGUGGCACCCUUAAAACCCUUUUACUAUUGAGAAUAAUCAUGUUCUUGAAAGUAGCAAUAAUCAUGUUCUUGAAAGUCAUUUAUUUCUCAAAUAAAUAAAUAAAUAAAUGCAUUGUGAAGAAUCAUUCAUAGCAACUGUUUGAUGCAAUUUCAACGGUGCUACAUAACCUCAUUUGCAACUAGCGACUGUUUGGUACAAUUUCAACAAUGCUACAUAACCUCAUUUGCAACUACAAUCUCUCUCUCUUCAACUGCAAAUCUUCAAUUUAAAAUUGUGCAAUAUUCAAAAUCUCACAGCUAUCAGUAACAUCAAAUGGUUACGGUGUAGACCACAUAUCCACAAAAUAUUUAUUUUCAAUAUCAUCUAUUAGUUUCUUGAGGACAUUUUCAUGAGCUAUAUAUAUGACUCCCAAGUCCCAAUAUUGGAAAAUAGCAAUACUGUCAUCUUAACUCUUAAGUUGGUCUCUAUAGAACAAAAUAUGGCCACUGGUAAGCUUGAGAUGGAAAAGGAAGCAAAGUGUAAUCCUCAGAAGUUCUACGGUAUGAUCAAGUACACUCUUCAUCACCUCCAUACUAUCUUCCCUGAGUCAUACAAGAGUAUUGAUAUACUUGAAGGAGAUGGUGAGAGUGUGGGUUCUGUCAGGCUUUGGAAAUAUGUCCUCCCAGGUAAAACUUGCAUAAUCACACAAGAGGAUGAUUAGACAUCAAAAUCUAUCUCAUCGUCUGGUUUCUUGAUUAUACUGUAUCUAACUUGUAUAUAUGAUGAUGAUUUUUACAGGGACAUCCGAAGUUUUGACUGCUAAGGAAAAGACUGAAGUGAUAGAUGAUGAAAACAUGUUGAUAGUUUGGAACAUAUACGAAGGAGAUCAUACAAAUCAUUAUAAUGGUUUUGUCCUGCUAAAGAUGCAAGUUGUUCCUAAUGGUGAAGGGAGCUUGGUAAAAUGGACUUUUGAGUAUGAAAAGCGCAAUGAGGGUGGACCAGAUCCACAACAGUUUAUGAAUAUGUUUGUCAUGUUUGGUGACAAGUUGGAUGCUCACCUUGCUGCCGAGGCCUAAAUGAAGUGCAAUACUGCAACCGGACCUCUGAAAUAAAUAAGUGAGACGAGGAACAUCUGUUCCAGACAUAGAAUGCUUUCGCAUAUAUAAGUUAUUUUGUACUUGUUAAAUAAGAGAAGUUAAUAUUCUUCUUUUCCUUGUUUGAGAAAUAUGGUGUCCUCUAUGGUUACUGUUUGAGAAGUUACUAUUUGUUCAAGUGUUAAAUAUGAUGAUCUCAUUUACAUCUAAUGCCCACAUAACUCGUUGCGAUGGAUGUUUGAUUUCUAUUACGUUGCAUUGUUUUCUAAGGUAAGAGACAAAGCGUCUAAGUUUAGUUGUCUUUGACAGGGAGCAUUACCACCAUAGUCCCACAUCGACAAGAUAUCAUGUUUGGUAGUGCUAUUUCCACAAUGAAAUGAGUGUGUAUGGUACGACCUUACUUGAACAGGAUCUGUUCUAUAGGGAAGUGCCUCUGUAUCCUUUAGUAAAAAGGAGACGGUAACCAAAGCUUGGUGGAUGAACCAGAACCGUGUGAUCAGAGCGUGAUUAAUGGCUGAGAUUCAAGCUGUGAAUCUUCUGGUUGUAGAGGAUCGUUCUCAGCUGCCUUAGUGGCUGAGAUGGUCACACGGUUGUCUGACAGGCUCAAAAUCUUUUUGCUUUUCUCCCCAAGUUUGAUGCAUUUUUCAAUUUAUGCAACUCUAAAUGGAUUCCAUAUAAAUGCAGUAUGAAAUUAUGCUCCAACUUUCUUGAUAACACAAACUGUUUUGGGCUAAUUGUGGUCCUGAUCAAGACUCUGACAUCUCUCAAGAAGAUGUUUAGGUGCUCCUAACUAUAGAUAUAUUGUAUUUGGAUGAACACUUUCGAGGAGUAGAGAUGAACAUUGAGCACCCUCAUUUAAGUAUCAGGAGUCCAUGUUAUUACCUCUAUUAUUAGAGGAUAAGAAGCUGCUGGCAAUACUUGAAGCUUGGUGGAUCAGCUGCUGCAGAGAGAACAUGCCUGUCCUCUGAUUGAGGGAUCUGAGCUCCAUUUGGAAGCAUUUCAGCCAGGUGUUGCUCCUAUGUCUACUGUAGAAACUACAAUCUGCACUACUAGUUGUGGUGAAGGGAUGUUUUUGUUGGGUUUACAGCUGUGGUCGUGGUAUAAACAUGAUGCCAAUGCUUCAUGUUAUAUCAAUAAAAUAUGCGCAAUUUACUUGUCCCAUAAGAAGAGGAAAAGGCAUAUUAACAACAUGGUGCCUUGUUAUCCCAAAAAAAAUAAAAACAAUUUGCUGCCUGCACUACUUAAUGAGAAGAAUUUUAUUAUGUUUUUGACUUAUCCAUAUAUCAACACAAACCACAUCAGCCAAACUCUAGCACCACAAUCCCAACAGCCAUGAAAAAAGUGGGAGGGACAAAAAGUAAAGAAAGGGGAAACGUGAGAAAGAAAAAUUCAUUUCCCCGAGCACUCGUAUUUUAUAAAGAGGGAGCUCUACUCUUUAAGUAAGAAAGCAGAGGGAAAAUAGAAUUAGCUGAGUUUCCUCUUCUCCAAUAUCAAACUUCUGAUUUUAUUGAGACACCGUUGAUCUAAUAUUACGUAGAGCCUCUGCAAUUCUCUAUAUCCCAAUAUCACAUAUCUGUCAACUUGAUCCUCAUAUUUCUCAUACAGUGCAGGAACAGUAAGAAGAAACACAAGACCUGCCAUACAGUCAUCGGUAGCACCAAAAAAUGGUAAGUGCAUAACUGAAAGACAGAAACUAGACCUAUAUAAAGUAGGAAGCAUCAAAACAUAAAGUCUCAACGAAGAAAAAGAUCAAUCUGCUGGCCUUCCUACAUUAGUUCCAAUAUAUUAGUGUACAACCUAAAUUUUUCAGUCCUGAAUAGUUUAUGUCUACUGCCUUCAUGGUAGGUUUAGGUAUUUAUACGUUAUGAAAUACAACAGCAUUAUAUAAAGUGAGGUUUAGAAACUUACUUGUGUAACCCAAAGUAAGGAAAUCAGUCCAGCCCCCAACAACAGAGAUUAGCCACAUACACCCUGCAACUUUGAAAAACAUCUUCGAGUCCUUUCCCAGACAUAUAUCUCGAGAAACUAAGAGCAAUGCGUUAAUGCGAGAACGAAUGAAAGCCGCUGCUUCAUUUAUUAACUCUUCUGACAACUGUAGAUCUGGUAGAGGAGGAGGAGGUCUGUAAUCAAGAUCAAUUCAGACAAUAAGUUUCUGGAUGAAGACACCUAAAUUUGCACAUUUCACUCCACAACUAACUAUUUACUGCAAGAAUAUGAAAAACAACGAGAAAAAAAAUGAAAAAAUACAGUCAAAAAUCUUAUUUUCCUUUUUGCUACAAGGAAACACAUUGGUUAAUAUCAGUAUUGAGACUGGCUCAAUGAGAGGGGUGCUACCAUUGAGCCACAGGCUCAUUCGCUUUGUUUACUGGGACUAAAUCCCUGGGGAGGCUAGCACAGCUAUCCACCGCCAUGACCUCCCACUUAAGGCAGAAUUGUCUAAUUGGGGAAUCGAACCCCUGACCCGUGCGUCCAACUACACUGACUACUUACAUGUCCAGAUUCUUUAUAGCUCUAACAUGUAAUAACUCUUGGUGCUAAGACCAGAGUAUAGAAGUGUGAGAUUCUUUUACAGAAAUUGUUCUUGUUAUAAUGUGAUUUUCAGGCAUUAAGCCCACUUAACCUCUAUGCAACAAUAAGUUAAUAUCGCUAUCUCAGAAAUCGUGUAAAAUAUGAGAAACAAACCCUAUUGAGGAGACUUAUAACUUUAUCAUUUUUGGAAUGUAGUUUGAAUGUACGCGAAAACCAGUAAACAAAGGAUCUAUAAGCAAUGAUUUCACUAUAUAGAGUUCUAUGAUCUAUCUCUACAAACAAACUUUUAAGGGACCAUAGGCUCAGCAAUGAAUUAGCUAUUCUGUGAAGCAAAUACUGUACAUUCCAAAUUGAGUUCAAGAUAAUGUAGUCUGAGAUUUUAUCGAUAUAUUUUAAAUUUCGACAAAAGCUGAAAAGAAACAGGUUACCAAGAACAAUAAAAUUGGUAGCUAGAUUCACUAACAAAGUUCAUAUCAUUCAAUAUAUAUUCUGUAUAACCAGCAUUUAUACGGGAUGACGAGAUCAUAUAAAUCGAACUCCUCCACUACUCACAUUGUAGUACAAUAGGUAACAUAGUUAUCAAUAAUACCUGUUGAGAAUCUCUGCAGAUUUUGCCCAAAGAAAAAGAAUAGUAAUUAACAGCAACAGAACAUUAAAAACCAGUGAAAGCAAAGUAUAACCAGAUUUCUCAAAAACCACCCAAGCAGCAAGUGUUACCACUAGUAACCCCACACUUAAAUUUUUUCUUCUCCAUAACAUCACAUCUGCAACUAUUAAAUCAAUAAACAACAAAAUAAAUACCAUCAUUAUUCAUUAAAACCCCAAAGUAAGAUCUGAUCAUCUAAUUAACAUAAUUAAAAAUCCUAAUCAAUUUCACUUACUGAAACCUUCACCAAGGAUCUGAUGUAGUGUUCUUUCUCUGUUAAACAAUCUAUGAUUUGAAGAAGAAGAAGAAGAAGAAGAAGAAGAAUCCAUGAUGGACCAAGUAAAGAAGAAAAUAAUAGGUGGGUUUGUUUGUUAGAAGAAUUGGAUUGAAAGGAAAAGUGGUUUUCAGGUUUUAUAUUAUAAACAAAGUUGAAAAUAAUUGGCGGUUUUGAAAUCCAGCCUAAAAGCUUGAAACCACUCAUUUUGUUUUCAGUCACAACCUUUUCUUUUGGCUUUCUUCGAAAAAAAAAGUUUUUGUGUAAGAAAAUGGUUUAUGGCGCAAGGGAACUGUUUGGGCUUAAAUAUGGGCUUGGGCUGUGUGGGGUCAUAGAACAGAAUACCGGAACACGUGCAGCAAAGAUCAACGGCUGUGAUUCUCUCCCGCCGAAAAUAACAAACUCCAACAAACUGAAGGCGCUUAACGUACGCACGAUGCGCAUUACGCACCUUCUAAACCUUCACUAGAGUGCACACUUCACACCCUUGCACAUUCUAAAAUCUUCUUUCUGCAACAAAUUCCAGAGAAAGAGAGAGAAGAAAACACACAAACUUGAAAACUCUGAAUCAAGAAAGUAAAACAUGUCUCCUUCUUCUUCUUCUUCUUCUUCUUCUUCCAAGAAUCUGUCAAUCUUGUUCAUCUUCUUCAUCAUCAUCUUCUUCUCAUUCUUAGUUCCAUCUGCUGGAACUGAAUCAAAUCAUCCAUCAAUUGGAAUUACAUACAACAAUAGAGGAGGAACUACUACACAUCAAAUCGUUUCACUUCUUCAAUCACUCAAAAUCAACUCAAUUAGAUUACCUGAUUCUGAUCCAGAGAUUAUUCGAAGUUUUUCUUACUCUGGUAUUUCUCUUCUUCUUUCAAUCCCAAAUUCAUUAAUUACACAAAUUGCUUCAAAUCAAUCUGAAGCUCUUCAUUGGCUUAAUCAUCAUGUUACCCCUUUUUACCCUAGAGUUCAUAUUUCAACAAUUUCUGUUGGUAACAAUGUUCUUGAUGAAAAAGAAAAAGAAGAAGAAGAAGAAGCUACUUCGGAUUCAAAUCAUUCUGAUUUUCUUCUCUCUGCAAUGGAAAAUGUUCGUCAAGCUCUUGAUGAACUUGGAAUUGAUAAGAUUAAAGUUUCAACUACUUUCUCAUUCAUUAAUGUCAUUACUACUGCUUUCCCACCUUCUUCUGCAGAAUUUCAACAACCUUUAGCUGAAUCUUUGAUGAAACCACUUUUGGGUUUCUUGUCUGAGACGAAUUCUUCUUUCUUGAUUAAUUUGUAUCCUUACAAUUUGUAUCGGAAUAACCCUGAGAUAACGAUUGGGUAUGCAAUAUUUCAAGAACAUCCCUUUGUUUUUCGUGAUGAUUUGUUGACUGGAGUUCGAUAUCGAAAUCUCUUCGAUAUGAUGGUUGAUUCAGUCCUUACUGCAAUGGCAUUACAAGGUCAUGAAAAUAUACCCUUGAUUGUGACAGAGACUGGGUGGCCUAGUUCUGACGAAUCGAAGGAUAUGGAUGCCAAUCAUGUUUAUGCUGAGUUGUACAUUAAGGGAUUGGUAAGGCAUUUGAAAUCAGGAUUUGGAACACCACUGAGAAGAGAUGGAGUGGCAGAGACUUAUGUAUUUGAGUUGGUUGAUGAUGAAACAAAGGACAAUGCGCAAACUAGGCGUCACUGGGGGAUUCUGUAUCCGAAUAUGACAAAGAAGUAUGAUCUUGAUUUCUCAGGUUCUAUUGGAAUGUCCGAUAUGUCGAUGAUGCCGUUCGGGAUUUGGUUGUUUGCGGUGAUGUUGAUGCGGUAAUUGAAUGGGGGUUUCUAUGCCCAAAGCAAAUGUUGCUUCAGGUUUCAGCCUUUCUGAUUUUUGCUAGUUGUUGUUUAGCUUUCAUAUAGGUGUAUUGAGUGUUGUUAGUCAAAUGUUGUAUAUGGGUUCUACUGAAAGAUAUCUGUAUGUACUACACAUUCCGUUGUGUCAUGAAGUUUGAAAAAGUAAUGAACUUGAAACGUUUCGAGUCUCUACUGAAUUUGUGCAAUUUUCUUAUUAACAUGUUAAGGGUGUUAGAGCUCAAUAGGCUUUAAGUUUACUGCAUUGAAUCUGUAGAUAGUUCUGACUUCCAGUUCUGGAAAGUUUGAGAUAUCUAUAAGCUAAGUAAAGCAUUGCAAUUGCAGAGCAAAACUUGCUUGAUUUUCAUGAAUAUAGGUUCUUGAAAUGGCACUGGCAACAAAGGAUUGAUUAUAAUUGCUCCUUUCAAUCUUUGAUAGUGAAGCUAAGACCACCUAAAACCAAGACAGCCAAAGCCCUUGAAAACAUCAUUUUCCGUUUUAUUUACUGGCAAACUUUCUGUAAAUUUUGAUUCAACAAUAGAACUUAUAUUUGCUUUCUUUUGCUCUGAUUUUCAUUUCCAACUAUAACCAAAUUAGCUGUUUUCUUUAUAACUAUGCUUUCAUUGUUUCAUUUUGGUUAUUGCCCUUGAUAGAUCUGCAACUUAAAAUUUAUCUUAUCAGUUUUAAGUACAUAUCAUCACAAUAUUCAAGUUCCAAACACAGUAGACGAUCCCUCAAAAGGAACUUAAGAGUAGGGAUUUUAGUUUGUGCUGAAUAUGAAUUCAAGUGCUUCUUGCAGUACAAUAAACCUCGCUGUUGUGAGAUACAAUUAGGUGUCAAUUAGAAAGAGCUGUAUUGGCUCAUCAGUACUAACCUACAACCUGAAGGAAUUUCUUCUUGGUUUUGACCAAGUUGAACAAAACAUAAGAAGUGUCUAGUCAUCUACAAGACCUGAAGACCUUACUCUCGGCUUCGGCCAGAACAGCAGAGAUAAGAGGAAAAUAUGGUGUUGCAGGAUGUUCAUACCUUUGACAUGUGAAAUUGGUGGAGAAAAAGCGUGAAAAAAGUUUUAAAACCUGACAGACAACCGCAUGACCAUCUCAGCCAGGAAGAGAUUCACAGCUAGAAUCUCAGCUGUUAAUCAGGCUCUGAUCACACGAUCGUGGUCAUCCACCAGACUUUUGUUUCCUUCUUUUUACUGAAGGAUACAGAGGUACUUCCCUAUAGAACAAAUCCUGUUCAAGGCUUGAACUUCAAGCAAGGUUGAACCAUACACUCUCAUUUCUCUUGUGGAAAUAGCUUCGUUGAAGAUGUUAUUUCGUAGAAGACUAUGAAACAUAAUUGAAAUCAAACAUCCAUGGAAAUGAAUUGUCUGGGCUUGGGAUGUGAAUAAGAUCAUAUAUAUGUAUAUAUACUGUCGAAGACCCCAUAUUGAUAUUAUUUCUCAAACAAGGAAGGGUUCCGACUUAACAAAUCACAACUUAUAAAUAUAAUAUAAAAAUAAAUAAAAAACUUAUACAUAGUGAAAGCACUCGAUCCAUAUGUUCAUAUUUCACUUAUUUAUUUCAAAGGUCCGUCACACUUCAUUUAGGCUUUGGCAAUAAGACGAGCAUCCAACUUGUCAUUAAACAUGCCAAGCAUGUUCAUAAACUGUUGUGGAUCUCUUUUACAUUGUGUUGAUUUGCAGUUGAAGAGAGCUAAGUUAUAGUUCAAUUGCAUGUUGAGAACAGUAGCAGUCUUUAGCCCAAGAAUCGUUUGGAGCAAAAAGUUUUUGAGCCUGUCAGACAACCGUGUGACCAUCUCAGCCACCAAGGCAGCUGAGAACAAUCCUCUACAGCCAGAAGAUUCACAGCUUGAAUCUCGGCCAUUAAUCAUGCUCUGAUCACACGGUCCUGGUUCAUCCACCAAGCUUUGGUUACCGUCUCCUUUUUACUCAAGGAUACAGAGGCACUUCCCUAUAGAACAGAUCCUGUUCAAGUAAGGUCG